This 52527-nucleotide long non-coding RNA is filed under the name Zea mays. RNAcentral's name for it is "long non-coding RNA (ZMAY_LNC000723)". Lineage: Eukaryota; Viridiplantae; Streptophyta; Magnoliopsida; Poales; Poaceae. The record is from RNAcentral.
CAGCAACCCAAAGUUGACUGGGAGACGACGACCUAGACCACUCACGAACAUCAUCCUCCAUGCGCCUCAUCCUGCGGUACCUGUUCUUGACCUGUGGGGGGGUGUGAGACAGCAAGAGUGAGCUCACAUACGUUCAUCGCUCAACAAGUUGUGGGGAAUAAUGUGCAUGAACUCGCCAAAGGUGGGAGCUCACGUGAAGUGUAAGGCUUACCAAAGAGGAUGGUUAGAGUUGAGCAUUGCUUUUAAAGUUGGUCAAAAUUUUAUUAGCAAUUACUAAGUAUAAGUAAAUACCAACCCAAUUAAAUAGUAGAACAAAAGUAACACCAUCACCUGCGAUGCAGUGCAUAUGACAAAUUGAAUUUAGUUCCAUAAAUUAAUCAUGUGAGGGUCCGAGCUGCUCAUGACCGUGAGCACGGCUGAUAUACCAGUUUUACACUCUGCAGAGGUGGCGCAUCUUUACCCACAAGUCAUGUUACCCAUCUGCCAAGGGAUCGCGACUUCCCGUACACCUCUACCGAGGAGGCGAGGCAGGGUAACACUACGAGGCCUUUACAAAGUUCCACUAGCUUCAGAAAACCCGCUACAGUUUAUAGGAAGCUCCAAUGCAGGAAUUCCCUUGCAGGACCGCCAUCGCAGCAAAAUCCUCCCGAGGGUCUCCCUACACUGACCACUCCCCUACUGCCCUUGCCCCUUUCGGGUAAGGUAGUCCUCCACUAGCUUUCCUAAUUAAUCAGCCAAGGGCGUCCCAUUAUACCCUUGUGGUAGCACUGUUUUCCCGGGUGGUCGCUCCAUGUUCCAAUUAACAUAAUGAUCUUAUCAUGAACGAUAAAUAACAACGGAUAACAAAAGUAUAACCAUGAGUAAUGUAUCUUCAUACCCAAAACCACAUAAAGCACUAGCAAGUACUACCCAAAAAGUUCAGUGGUAAACAAGGUAUAAAGAUAAUCAAACUAGGGUAACCUAUUGGGUCCCAUCAAAAUUAACCUAUGCAGAUCAUUAUGAUUAAUCAGAACAUGGCUGGGUAAAAAGAAGUGAUCAAGGGCACAACUUGCCUGAGACUUGAGAUUCCAGGUACCAGGAUGAUCUUCAGGUGACUCGUGACCUCACGCUAGUCGUAGCAAUACAAACAAACAUGGUAUAGGCAAAAUUAACAUCACACAAAACAUAAGAAUAAACUGAGUAAUAAUAAUCUACGCGUUGCUACGAGAUCGCGGGAACGAGAACCACUAAAAUCGGAGUUACGGUUAAGGAGUUAUGAUUUCAUGGAGAAUUUAUGUGAUUAAAAUGUUAAACUAUAUUAUAAAUUGGUUAAUACAAAUCAUAUAAGAAGUUAUUUUAUAAAUACUCAUCUCAACUUUAAUCUAAGUUAUAAAUUAACCAUAGAUUAUAUUUUGGUAGAUAAUGAUGAGCACAUUAUCAAGACUAACCAACAUAAGUUAAAUAAUUAUCUAAUCAUAAAAUAAUAAGACAUGGUAUAAUAAAUGUUGUUAUGGCAUAGUAAAUAUUUAUACGAGACUAACACAACUUGAACGAAUCAAAUCGGAGUUACAGAUUGUGAGUUGUGAGUUUCCAAAGGUUCCAUGUAUUUGAUACAAGAUUACUUAGGGUAUAAAUUUUAAUGUGACAUUCAUGUCAAAACAGUGGCACUAACUGAUAAACAAUAAUAUUAUAAAAUUAUAGAAAUUGAAAUGGAUUGAUUUGGACUUCAUAUGAAUUUUAUAUGAAUUAAACAAGUUCUAGGCAUUUGUUUUUUUUAUAUAAAAAAAUCAAUUUCUCAAUUAGUUUCCCUGUUAUAACCAAUAUUUGGACUGAGCGCAUGAUUAAACAGAAACCCAGGGGCCUCGGUGUAAUAAAUCCUAGACUCAGAACACUAUUCACUAGACUGCGGGUUAGUUCCUCAAUUCCAGGAGGGCUCUUUUACAAAAUCGACUUGGCGAAGGGGUAUCUGUUGAUAGGGGCCGUCAGAUCGACUACGGAGCGCCCUGAUUAGAUCGGCCUAUCCGCCAACCGGUACCCAGCCGCAGCCACAGGAUGGGAAAUCAACGGUCCAGGUUUUAAGUAGCUGAGAUCGAUCCACAUACGCCGGAUCAAGAUCGCACGGACCAGAUCCGAUCCCCAUCUCCCGCAAACCGGUACGUCACGAGAUUCAUUGGAUUCUAAUCCAACGGUGCUUAAGACAUUACGCGGAGAGCUAAUCUUGCCCCUACAUCUAGAUCCAACGGCGCGCGUACGCUCUUCCUCCGACGACGACCAGCGAAGGUGGAGCAGAGGCCCGCGGCUGCCCUCCACCAGCGCGCCGCGAUUCCGGCCAACCUGACCUCCAUCUCCAAAUUCCUUCGCUCCUCGCCCAAUUGAUGAUGUUAUGAACUCAUCCCCUCUACCAAUUUCUACCGUCGACGAGCACAGUGCUCAGUCCACGGCGCGCUACACUUUUACGGUGGCGCCACCGCAACGCGCAGGUGACCGGUCCGAGGGAGACUAUCCACGGCGAGAGGCGGAUUUACGGCGGAGCUCUCACCACGGCGAGCAAUUGCCCGCACCCGGCUUCAACAGUGGUAUGCUACGCUAAUGAUGAUACGCCGAGCAGGUGCGAGCGAGGGGAAACGCUUACCGAUGACCACUCGAACAACGCCUUCGCGAUUUCACCCACCGCCGAGCGCAGUCGCAGAAGAAUCCCGACGGCAGCGGUGACCGUUCCGAGCUCCACUCUGGGCACCCGGCUCCUGCGGCGACUACCCGACCGCCCAGAGCAACGAACGGAGGUGAGGCGACGGCGGCGACCCCAACUCCCACGGCGAAUCCCGAGCUCCCCUCCCAGCAGUCGGGUUCCCAGAUAAUCCAGUUGAGCGGAACAGGCACAAAUCGGCAAGUUUAUAGGGGGAGGGAGUCCGCGGUGAGGCGAAUUACCGACCCCACCCAGGCAGCGCGGUGGUUGAGCCGAAUCCCAGGGAUCACGGAUGGUUGUUGCAGAAGCUCCCGAUGAGUUCGGUGAGGAAGGAAAGGCUGACCCAGGUGGCCCACGUGUAAGUGAAUGGAGUGGAUGCGCGUGAGAGGGGAGAAGUGGGCCGCGCAAUUGGAGCCACUGGGCUGCACGGUAGGGAUUCGGCCCAGCCGAGCAGGUAUGCUUAUUUCUUCUUUUUCUUUUCUCUUUUCUUUUUCAAAUUUAGAUUUUCAUUCCUCCUUUUACAUUUCAAAUUCAAAUUAUAUCAGAUGUACCAAUUUACAUUUGGAGAUAAAGAGAAUAUAUUUAUGUAUAUAUUUAUUUAGGGAUCAAUUCAACCUUUAGAAUUAUUAUUUUAUUUAAUGCACAAACAAUAAAACUCCAACGAGAUGCACUUUCUUUUAUUUUAGUGUCUUUGGUUUGAUUUAAUCACUCUUCAUUUUAUAUAUGCUCUUUUCAUGAUGCAAAUAAGGCACAUAAAAUAAGGAAAACACCAUGUAUUUCUUGUACACAAUUUUGAGUAUUACAGUGUACUCCUUCAUGCGCCUAGGGGUCCCUUUUAUAGCCCCAAGGCAGCAAGGAGCCGUUGAGAGCAAUCCAGGAAGGCAAUUCUUGCCUUCUGUCGACUAGUGCACCGGACAGUCCGGUGCAGAUUUCUUUCAUGUUCUGGUGCGGCCGACCGUUGACGAUUUGGAGCCGUUGGCGCACCGGACACUGUCCGGUGCCCCCAUUAGACCGUUGGCCCGGCCACGCGUCACGCGCAGAUUGUGCGGCCGACUGUUGGCUCGGCCGACCGUUGGCUCACCGGACAGUCCGGUGCACUACCGGAUAGUCCGGUGAAUUAUAGUCGUACGCCGCCGUUGAGUUCCCGAGAGCGGCCAGUUGACCAGCGCCAGCCAGGCGCACCGGACACUGUCCGGUGCACCCAGACUGAGCAGAGUCUUGGCUGCUCGAGCCAAGUCUUUUCCAUUUGUCUUUUCUUUGAUUCUAGCACUUAGACAAAUAUGUUAGUACACAAAAACCAAUGUACUAAGUCUAGAAUCAUACCUUUGUAUUGAUUUUCACUUUGUCCACCAUUUGGCAUAGUUUAACACAUAACCACUUGUGUUGGUCACUUAAUCACCAAAAUACUUAGAAAUGGCCCAAGGGCACAUUUCCCUUUCAGUUUGUAUAACUCCCCUUCUAUAAUUACAUAGGGUCGUGCUCUUGCUUCCAUUCUUUUAUUGUAAACGUCUUCAUCUGAAAGACAAUUGCCCUGAAGAAAGAUGUGAUCUCAGUCCUCCAAUAUUCACUGUGCACUCGUGAGAUUGUGACCACUGCUCUUUCCAUAAGCUUGACCGAAGGUGCUUUUAUUGUUUCAAAGAACACCUCCGAAGGUAACGGAAGCCCAUGUGCCACUGAUUUAGCUAACAAAUCUGUGUGCUCGUUUUCUCCUCUCGGGAUGUUUUUUUACAGAGAAGCCAUCGAAAGAGGCUUCCAUCCUUCGGACUGCAUCCAGAUAUUUUUGUAGCCCUGGGUCCCUUGCUUCGCUACUUUUGUCAAUGUGACCUAAAAGGACUUGUUAGUCGGAUUUGAAUAUUGCCCUUCUUAUUCCCAUUGUCUUAAGCUUUCGAAGCCCCAAGAGAAGGGCUUCAUACUCUGCAAUGUUAUUUGUGAAGUUGAAGUCCAAUCUUGCUGCAUAGCAGGUUUUGAUUUUUUAUGGUGAGAUUAAAACAACAACUACUCCUGCGUCGAAGGUUCCCCAGGACCCAUCACAAAAUAUUGUCUACGCUUCGGCAUCAUUUGUUUUCUCUUCGUCCUGAGCCCCUAGCGUCCAAUCAGCAAUAAAGUCUUCUAACGCUUGGGAUUGGAUCGAAGAUCUAUGAAUGAAAUCGAUAGUGAAUUCAUUCAAUUAUGCAGCCCAUUUCCAACUCGUCCUGUGGCUUCUCUGUUUCUCAUUAUAUCCUUUAGGGGUUGUGAAGAAGGUACUAUGAUAUGGUAUGCUUGGAAGUAAUAUUGAAGGUUCCUGGAAGCCAUUAAUACAGCAUAUAAUAUCUUCUCUAACUCUGUAUAAUUUUUCUUUGAUGCACUAAGUACUUCGGAGACGAAGUACACUGGCACUUGUUUUCUUGCCUAGCCAUCCUGGUUCUCUUGCACCAGCGCUGCACUAACCGCAGCGUGGGAAGCAGCUACAUACAACAGCAAUGGAGUUCCUAACGAAGGUGGGGUUAAGGUUGUCAGUUCUAUCAAUUACUGCUUCAGUUCUUCGAAGGCUUUUUAUUGAGUUGGUCCCCAUUGAAAGACUUCGGCUGACUUCAUCACUUCGAAGAAUGGCAAGUUCCUCUGUGUUGAUCUUGAAAUAAAUCUAUUCAAUGAUGUCAGCCUUCCUGUUAACCUCUAGGCAACCUUUCUUGACUUUGGUGGCUCCAUCCGAAGUAUAGCUUCUAUCUUACUUGGAUUAGCUUCGAUACCCUUUGUUGAUACCAAGCAACCAAGAAAUUUGCCCUUCUUCACUCCGAAGACACAUUUUCUGGAUUUAGUUUAAGACUAGCUCUUCUGAAGUUAGCAAAUGUUUCUUGCAAAUCAGCAACGUGAUUUUCUUGAUUCGUGCUCUUUACCAUGAUAUCAUCAAUAUAUGUCAGCACAUUUUUGCCAAUUUGAGAGUGAAGGACUUUGGCAGUCAUCCUGCUGAAAUUUCCUCCUCCAACAUUCUUGAGCCCCUCGGGCAUCCGAAGGUAGCAAUAGGUCCCACUAGGGGUUAUGAAGCUUGUCUUAGGCUCAUCCACCUUCUUCAUCCAGAUUUGAUGAUAACCUGAGUAGCAGUUCAAUAGUCUCAUGAGCUCUGAAGUAGCUGUUGCAUCCACAAGAGAAUCUAUUCUUAGUAAUGGGAAUUCAUCCUUCAGUCAUGCCUUUAUUAAGAUAUGUGAAGUCGAUACACAUUAUCCAUUUUCCAUUAGCUUUCUUUACCAUCACAGUAUUGGCCAGCCACUCUAGGUAUGUUACUUCUCUGAUAACACCAGCACUCAGAAGCCUUUUUUACUUUGUUUCGCGCGCCCUCGGCUUUAUCAUCGGACAUUUUUCGAAGCCUCUGCUUUCUUGGCAUGAAGGUUGGGUCUACAUUGAUUAAGUGCUCAAUGACAUCUCUAUUGACACCAUAGAGAUCAUUGGCUAACCAAGCAAAAACAUCCUUGUUGUUGAAUAGGAAUCUCAAUAAAGUCAUAUGAUUAUUCAUGUUAUUUCUCAUGUUUCAUAUGCUUCGUCUUUCAUUAACAUAUAUUGUGAUGAUGAAGAUACGUCCUUCAUGACCUUCGUCCGAAGAUCGUUAUAUCCUAAGGGAAAUAAUGCUUCGAAGGACGAAGGGCAUUAACCAUUAACCUCUUUUGUGUUGCCUUGUUCUUAAUUCAUAGCAUUUGAGAACAAGUCCCCAACAUUGGCGCCCACCUCCGGUGUACUGACUUCCGCAAUCUUCGGCAAAGCAUCAACCUUCGUCAUGCCGCCAAAGAAGAUAACAGCGCCAGGGGCUGCAUUGCAGCCACUGGACACAAACCAGAAGACUCUCUCUCUCCGAGAGGCCAGAAGCCAAAAGAGAAAGGCCAUCAGUCCAACACUUCAGCAGGAGGAGUUGGACUAGGAGAUCAGGGACAUGGAGAUCAUUCACCAGCAGGUGCAAAGGAAAAAGGAGAAGAUGGCUCGGCUGGCCGACCUUCAAAAGAAGAUCGAUGAAGCUACUAAGGAAGUGUGUCAUCUUACUCAAGAUGAUCAUGACCGAAGGCCCCAACACAGGGAGCUUCAUCAAGAGGGCUCAUUCAACGAAGAUGAAUGGUACGAUGAUUUUAAUCAUGGUACCUUUACUUUUGAUGAUGCUUCUCCCCUGGCAGCAGAAUUGCAGGCUAUCCCAUGGCCACAAUCCUACAAGCCACCCCAGCUAUCCAUGUACGAUGGGCACUCGGACCCAAAGCAAUUCUUGAUGAGCUAUGAGGCAACAAUAUCCUCAUAUGGAGGCAACACAGCUGUCAUGGCAAAUUCCUUCGUCAUGGCAGUCCGAAACGUGGCCCAUACAUGGUACUCUUCUCUUCGGCCAGAGACAAUCACGUCAUGGCAGAAGCACAAGGACAUGCUGGUUACCAGUUUUCAAGGCUUUCAGAUGAAUCCAGUCACAGCUCAGGCCUUGUUCCAGUGCACACAAGACCAUGAGGAAUACCUUCAGGCGUAUGUUUGAAGGUUCUUACGACUGAGAGCACAAGCGCCCAUAGUGCCCAAUGAAAUUGUCAUUGAGGCUAUUAUCAAGGGUCUUCGGCCAGGACCUACGACCCAAUACUUCGCCAGGAAACCUCCCCAAACUCUGGAGAAGCUGCUUCAGAAAAUGGAUGAGUACAUCCGAGCUGACAAUGACUUCCGACAAAAAAAGGAGGAAGCUUACAGAUUUUCUGAGAUGACUAGGGGCUUUGGAGGGAGAAUCCACCCUAGGAAUAUCAGAUCAAUCCACAGCUCUAGUCAGAAUGAUGACAAAGGAAGCCAGCUUCAGAGGCGACAGCACACCUCACAGUCUUCGGGACAGCAGCAAAGCUCCUUCAGGCCACUAGCUCCAAGGGGCAGAGGCGGCAAGGGCUUCGAAGGAAGAUAUGGGGAUCAGCCUAGGAAAAUCUAUUGCUUGUUCUGUGGUGAGGACAAAGGCCACACUACAAGAACCUACCAGAUCACUAUUCUGAAGCAAAAAGAGAUUGCUGAAGCAGAAGCUCGACAGAAUCAGCCGAAGCAAGUCCUACAUAUUGCUUCGUGCCACUCUCCCUACAUACCAGAAUAUGUGGGCAACCAACCUGCAGUUUCUGUUGCUUCGGCAAGCCAUUCACAGGCUUCAUGGCCUCAGCUCCCACCGCCACCACUACUGCAACCUACUUAUUCCUGAAGCCAGCAGCCAGAAGGGCGCCAGCACUCCCAACAACAACGUGAAUUCAGGGUGGAAUCCGAAGCUCGUACAGUCAAUAGUACUAUACCAGAAUCGAAGCACAUAUACUGAGCGAUAUCCUGCUUCUGAAAUACUUUUAUGUUCUAUGUCACUUUGCUUUUUAAUAAGAACAAGCAAUGUAAAUUUAGUUUUAAUUUCUUGUAAUGAUUUUUCUUCUAUCAGAAUGAAAUAUAUCUUCUUCACAGAUUUACGAAGCUCAAAAGUCGUUCCUAAGGGAAUGUAGAGCUAAAUUUGCCAAAGCUACAAAAAAGUCGUUCCUAAGGGAUCACAGCGUAAGUUUUGAGCUCAAAAGUCGUUCCUAAGGGAAUGCAGAGCCUAAAUUGCCGAAGCUACAAAAAGUCGCUCCUAAGGAAGCGCAGCGUAAGUUUUCUGCUCAAAAGUCGUUCCAAAGGGAAUGCAGAGCCAAAUACCGCUGAAAUAUAAGGCGAAGAAGUUCAAAAGUCGUUCCUAAGGGGAUGCGGAACUUAUACCGUCGAAAUAUAAGGCGAAGAAGUUCAAAAGACGUUCCUAAGGGGAUGCAGAACUUACAUCACCGAAAUAGAAGGUGAAGAAGCUCAAAAGUCAUUCCUAAGGGGAUGCAGAGCUUGUGUGUUCCAGUGUGGGCGUGUGCGUGUGUGUCUUCGACAUCCUCAUCAUUUUGCAUCAUAUCAUCACAUCAUUUCGCAUAACAUCACAUCAUACAUCAUAUUGCAUCAAUGACACGAGAAUUGAAUGCGGAGCUGAUCUUCGGAAAAUGCUUCAUCAAAAUGAAAAUGUGCUAAGGCACGAAGUAAGCUUCGGGAAAUACAGUUUCAUCAGCCCUAUCACAAGAAGGGAUCUCUCUUUGCGAAGAAUGGAUAUCUUUCUUUACGAAGUAUGGAUCUUUUUGUUUACGAAGCAUGAAAAGAAGGGAAGGUGUUUUUUUGCCGAAGGCUCAAAACGGUAUGUAUGUAAGUUUCAUGCAUUACAAAGAAAUAAGUUACAAUAAUCUACAUAUUCGAUUCAAGGUUACACACAUCAAAUAUCAUAGUUUUGUUACAAUGGAAACCUACUCUUCCUUCAUUUGUUAUAUACAUCAAGCUUUUCAAAAUGUUUAUUAUAAUAAAAUCUAUUCCUCUUUAAGGACUUUCUCUGCAACUUCGUUCAGUAAUUUGUUGAUGACUUCGUCGACAAUGGAUUCAGCCAUGUUUAUGAUGUCCAGCGCUUCCUUCAUUUCUAGAUCAGCUAGGGGAUCGUACGGUUCCGGCGACGGAGGUAGUUCAGCUGAAGUAGGAAAAAUUAAUAAAUUCGAAGCCACAAAUCAAGUACUGAAGCUAAAAAGCCAAAAAAAUAAUACAUAUACGGUUUUCGCGCUCUGCAGUCUCUUCAGCUCGUUUUGCUUCCGCUCGGGCGUCAUGGGUGUCUUGUUCACUUUUUUUUAUAGUUUCAUGGGCCAUCUCUUGGCCACCAUUCACCCAGACAUCAUUGUAAAACUUCCCACCCAUCAAGGUUGCUUCAGCUGAUGGAUCCUUCGUAUCAUCCACGGAGAAGGCAGCUUCGGCCUGGGCCAUGGUCUUGACGUGAUCACACCCGGCCUUCUCCAAGAUGACUCAAAUCCCCACGCACCGGAAAACGUACAAACAUCCCCCCGAUCACUCAGAAUUUCUUCGAAGGCUUCGGCUUCUCCACUUAUCCAAUCAAUAAUGCCUUCAGGGUCGCCUCGUACGAAGUUUUCUUUGGCAGAGUAGGCACCCACUUUGGCGAAGCUAGUUUUCAAUUUUUUCACACAAUCCAAGGAUUUCUCGAAACACCUUUCCUUGGAUUGGCGAAGUUCUUCAACAUUUUUCUCUAGAUAAUUUUUCCAGUACUCGCUGAUCUCUCGGUUGGCCUGUGCGAGCGCACAAUUCUCUUUAGCUUAGGCCAGCUGUCUCCAAAGAUCUUCAAUUUCUGUUUUCUGGGCUUCGGCCUGAGCUUUAUAGUUAGCUUCGUCUUCCUUUACUUUAUUUACCAAAGAAAUCAAAAUUUUAUCUUUCUCUAGACCUUCGUUUCUUAGUUCAAUCACUUCUGAACGAAGGUUAUUAAGGGCCAUUGUAUAGCCUUCGUCUUCAAUAUUCUUCUGCGCCCUAAGGGCAUUACUAAGAAUUAAGCCCUGCAAAGAGGAGGAAAUAAUUGAGCAUGGCAAAUAAUAUACUUAAUUCUCAAAUUCAAAGUUAACUUCUAUACCUUUAUAUUGUUGUAUGCUAGGCUCUCAGCAAGAUCAUCCUUCGGCAAGGUCAUCUUCCAGCUUCGGGAAUCCCAUGCUUUUACCUAUCUCCCGACAAACAAAUAUUUCUUUAUUGUCCGGGAGAUAGUACAAGAAGUCGUCAUCGUUAGUGCCAUUAAACACUAAAGCUCCCUUCGGAUAUUUCAACUUUUGUGCAUAGUGGCUGGCUUCCAGAAUUUCUUCUUCGGACAAUUUCUUCCCCGAAGCGUGUCGAAUGAUGUAGUCAACAUUUUCGAUCGGAGCUUCGGAAGCAGGAGUCUCGAUCUUUUCAAGUGCAAUCUGCCCUGUCGUUUUUUCCUCAGGCGUGGCAGGCUUCACCGUGACGGACGCUGAAUGCCCAGCUUCGGCCUCAGCCUAAGUUUUCGUAGCUUCGGCUUCUGCCUGCCCAGUUUCGGCUUCGGCUUGCGCUUUGGUAGCUUCAGCAAUUUUCUUUGUAGGAGCAGGGCUCAAGGCCUUUGUAGUUUCCAGCACAGCAUCCAGCAUGUUGGCCAUCCUCCUUCUCUUGGGAGUCACGGCAGAAGCCUUUUGCACCUUCGGCAGUUUCGCCUCUGUCGGAGGGCUCAAAAUUUCUGGCAUUUUCAUUAUUUCCUCAAUUUGUGGCUCUUCGGCCUUAUCAACCUUAGCUUCGACUGGCUCGACUGUAGGCGUCUUCGGCAUUACACUUGGUUCUUCAGCGCUCUGUGCAAUUGAAGCAACUUGUCUUGCUUCAGUAGUUGAAGAGGCUCCUUCGACAAAUUUAGGCACCACGGCCAGUUCAAUGUAACGCGGCCGGUGGGUCAGAUCUUUCAUCUUUUUGCCCUUCGGCUCAGCUGCAGUGGCCGAAGCGCCAGUCUUCCUCUUUUUUCCUUGCCCUCGCAGCGGGAAGCGAUAAUCAGGGUAUAUGAAGCCAAUCGCAUCAAAGACCCUGUUCAGUCUUUUCUUCCCCCAGCCUCCGAAGGCUGCGGACAAAGCAUUAUCUUUGGCCUUGGAGUAAGCUCCAAGUAUCUCAUCACUAGUAGCUUCAAUACACUUCAGCCAGUCGUCGUUUGGCUUAUCAAACUUCUCCCUAAAUCUGAAGGUAUACUUCAGUCGGACCAGACCACCAUCACUAGAGUCGGUGGUGGUCUCCUUCGACAUUUCCCAGCUUUCCACAAGUGGCCAAACCCUGAAGGAUAUAUGCUCUUGAAUUAAAUCCCUUGUGCCAAUGAAGGAACAAACAGUGCUAAAAGCCCUCUGACAUGCUUCAACAGCGUCAUCAAUUUCCACCUUCGGCCUUCGAAGGCCGAAGCGAGACCAAAUGGGUCGUUGUAUGGUUUCUUUGAUAUCUUCCCUUGCCUUUAAGUCAUUUUUAACAUAAAACCACUCCUCCAUCAGGCUCUGGGCCAUCUCUUCCAGAAUGUUGGCACUGGGUGGCUUGCGUUGGGGCGAGCAAUAAAUCCAUAACAACCGAGGUUGUUGUGGUACUGUUCUUUGCCGGUAGUCUUCGUCUCAUACAAAAGCUCGUGCAUACUACAGAAGCACUUCGCGCUUGGCUCUAGCCCCUGACUCCUUAUAGCCCAGACAAAAAUCCCCAUCGUUAUUAUGGCUUCGGGGGUGAUCUAAUGAAGGAAGAUCUAAUAUAUCUUUAGCACUUCAACCACAAACUUGCUCAAAGGGAACCGAAGACCAGCCUUAAAAAAGCUUCGAUAGAUAACAACUUCAUUUUCCUCAGGGGCAGGGACGAUGUUGUCUCCGCCAGCUCUCACGAUAGACAUGUCAUGAAAGUACCUUCCUCUCAUGUUGUCAAGGUGACUCUGUUUAAUAGUCGAUUUUCCGAAGACAAGCAUGGCUUGGUCGCCAGGGCCGAUCUUCAGAAUCUUCGUCUCCACUUUCUACAUCAUAGCUAUCACUGUCAUCAGUAUCUUCAGACAAACCUUCCAAUAUUUCUUUAGUAAUAUUCUAUGUGUUUGUUUUUGACAUAGACUCAAUAAACCCGGCGAUAAAAGGAUCUGCAACUUUUCUUUUCUUCAAAUAACUUUGUUUCCUCAGUUAGCUUCGUCUCCACAGUCAUCUUCUUUUCCUCAGUCAUCUUUUCCCCAGACAUGGCGAAAACGUCUUUGAACCAAAGCUCGAAAGGCUCAAGAAUUAGGCAAGAGCUAGUGACCAAGAGCUAAAAAUUUGACACAAUAACACAAAUGGCAGAAAUGGUGUGUCAAAUACCGCUGGCGUGGGUUCAUAUUUAUACGCUCAGUGCGUUGCAACUUGAAGGGCCCCAUCUGUCGUUGACUAUUGCUAUUCUAGCAAAGGGAAGGUGUUUUUUCGGACCUUCGGCUUAAGGCAUUCAUUUAUGUCGCUGUUUGAAUUCUUUUUUAUAACAAAUUAAUACUACGAGGGGCUACUGUUGGGAGCCUUCGUCUUCCGAAGGUCCUCAAAAACAUGAUUAUCAAUGUUUCCCAAGUGUAAUAUAUGUACAGGAACCUUCGGACUCGGAAUGAAGUUGUACACAAUAUAAGGAGCAUGGUUGGACGAAGGUUGAACCAGCUACGAAGCUAGGCGCAAGGAAGCUUCGGCUCAGUAGCAGAAUAAGGAACCGACUUAAGGAGGAAAAGGCUAUCAGGUCCUCGAUAGAUUGUCUUUGAGUCAAUAGUAAACAUAAAGGGCAUGAAUGUAAUUUUACACAUGCUACGCCCUGUGCCUAUAAAUAGAAAUGAACAGUACUCCCGUACCGUUCACGCUGAUUUGUAUUCGCUCGUGUGUCACGCUUGGACUUUUUGCCUUCUGUCAAGCCGAAGGUACAAAUGUAAUUCAAUAUUGUUCUUAUUCAUCCAUGAUGAUAUAAUAAAGAUAUAUUAAUAAUGUCAUAUGAUUAUUCAUGUUAUUUCUCAUGUUUCAUAUGCUUCGUCUUUCAUUAACAUAUACUGCGAUGAUGAAGGUAUGUCCUUCAUGACCUUCGUCCGAAGAUCGUUAUAUCCUAAGGGAAAUAAUGCUUCGAAGGACGAAGGGCAUUAACCUCUUUUUGUGUUGCCUUGUUCUUAAUUCAUAGCAUUUGAGAACAAGUCCUCAACAUUUUGUUGGGGGCCUUCAUCUUCCGAAGGUCCUCAAAAACAUGAUUAACAAUGUUUCCCAAGUGUAAUAUAUAUACAGGAACCUUCGGACUCGGAAUGAAGCUGUACACAAUAUAAGGAGCAUGGUUGGACGAAGGUUGAACCAGCUACGAAGCUACGCGCAAGGAAGCUUCGGCUCAGCAGCAGAAAAAGGAACCGACUUAAGGAGGAAAAGGCUAUCUAGUCCUCGAUAAAUUGUCUUUAAGUCAAUAGUAAACAUAAAGGGCAUGAAUGUAAUUUUACACAUGCUGCGCCUUGUGCCUAUAAAUAGAUGAACAAUACCCCCAUACCGUUCACGCUGACUUGUAUUCGCUCGUGCGUCACGCUUGGACUUUUUGCCUUCUAUCAAGCCAAAGGUACAAAUGUAAUUUAAUAUUGUUCUUAUUCAUCCAUGAUGAUAUAAUAAAGAUAUAUUAAUAAUGUCAUAUGAUUAUUCAUGUUAUUUCUCAUGUUUCAUAUGCUUCGUCUUUCAUUAACAUAUACUGCGAUGAUGAAGGUACGUCCUUCAUGACCUUUGUCCGAAGAUCGUUAUAUCCUAAGGGAAAUAAUGCUUCGAAGGACGAAGGCCAUUAACCAUUAACCUCUUUUUGUGUUGCCUUGUUCUUAAUUCAUAGCAUUUGAGAACAAGUCCCCAACAUUGCUGAAGCAGUCUUUUCUCUUUUAUGCUUAUAUUGUUGAUGAGCUUCGGCUUCAUCUAUGUUAUGGAUGGCCUUUGAAUCCAUCCAGUUCCCUUUGGCUCUCCUGGCAUCCUCUUGGCUUCCAUGUACAACGAUAGGCCCUUGAUCAGAAGGUAUCUUCAUGCAAAGAUAUGUUGGGUGGAGUAUUGCUUCGAAGGCGUUUAGCGUCCCUCGACCAAUGAUUGCAUUAUAGGGAUACUCUAUAUCGACAAUGUCAAAGACAACCUGUUUUAUCCUUGUAUUGUGAACAUAGCCGAAGGUAAUCGGCAUAGUUAUCUUGCCGAGCGCCACGAUAUGUCUUCCUCCGAAGCCGCAGAGGGGGUGCGUUGCAUCAUGUAUCUUGUCAUCUGCCUAUUGCAUUUGCCUGAAAGCCUUCACAAAGAAGAUGGUUGUCGCACUGCCUAUGUCCAUUAGGACAUUGUGGACCAGGAACCCCUUGAUGACACAAGAUAUGACCAUUGCAUCAUUGUGAGGACAAUCCUUGAGCUGAAGAUCUUCCUGGGAGAAGGUGAUUGGUAUAUGAGACCACUUAGACUUGAUGAAGGGUCCUUGCACUCCAACAUGUUGUACCCUUCUCUGUGCUUCCUUCUUCUGCUUCUUAUUGGCUGGUUCAGAACUUGAGCCGCCUAUGAUUGGGAGCACCAGCUUCGUAGCCGAAGGUGCUACAACUUGGUUGUCUUGCGAAGCCAUUGUCGCAAUCGUGGAAGUAAGUUCACCGGAGGUGGGCGCCAAUGUUGGUCACUUGUUCUCAAAUGUUGUAUAUCAAAAACAAGGCAACACAAUCGCUAGUUAUUACAGUUCCUUCGCCUUCUGAAGUAUUAUCUCCUUAUGGGUAUAAUACUUCAUCAAACGAAGGUAAAAAAAGACAUACCUUCAUCAUUUAAUCUCUGAAUAGGAAUGUGAAAGGAUAAAUAUGAUAACUGCAUCUUAUUAGCUCAUUUAUUCUUGCAUUUCAUAAAACAUAAAUGAAUAUCAACAACGUUAAUAUUACAUUGAUACCUUCGGUUUGCUCGAAGGUGUGGAUGCGAGAAAGUGAAUACAAUCCAGCGUGAACAGUACGUGGUUAUUGUUCAUCUUUUUAUAGGCACGGGACUCAGUCCGGAUAAAAUUACAUCCAUAUCCUUAAACGUUUAUUUACAAGCAACUAAAGCUAAUAAGGUAUAUUUAGUCUUUUACGUCUUUGCUUGAUCCGAGCCGAUGCUAUUGAGCUUCGGCAUUCUGCAACAUUGCUUGUACACAAGGUCAUUGUCUUGAGAAGCAGAGCCGAUGUUGAUGAUAGCUUCAGCGAGGCUUUGUAUUAUCUUGCUGAAGGUGUUUUUGUCUUGUAGACCUUCGAUGGAGAAGAAGACCCCAACAGACAUCUCAUUUAAUGAGAAUGAAACUCCUAGAAAACUUGCACUUGAGUCGAGUAAAAGACAUUACAAGUUAUCUGGUACAUCCGGUACGUGAUAAUAAAUGAUAAAUACAAUAUAUAGAGCCACAAAAACUUCAGGCGAUUAAAGUCUGAUGCUACAAAGAUCAAUAAUAGAACAAAAUAAUGUAACAAGAGAAAAAUGUUGUCUUUCAUAUUGUUACUUUUAAUUAGUGUUUAGCAGCAGUAUAUUUCAGUCUUACAAUAACAGUGGAAGAUCUAGAUAAUAAAAAAAGAAGAAGAAGAAAAAAAAUCAAACAAUGUAUAGCAUACUCCACAAAUUGUACAUUCACGCUCUAAGUUAAUAAAGUUAGUAAGUAGUUAAUACUAUAAUAUGUACCAUAAUACUUCAAAGUCGAUUAAUGAAUAGUUAUAUUCUCAUCAGGCCUUGUCAACUGUCAUCUCCUGGUGCCGACGAGGAACCAAUCCCAACUUGUAGCCAGGGCUUUGUGGGCUCACCAUCCAUGCUCACCAUGUCUUUGAGGUCGCUAAUUUUAGCUCUCUUCGCUGGUGUGCUGUCUGCCUCUUCCUCCUCCAUCACCGCAUCGAUGGCAUAUUUUUUUCUUGUGGCAUCCUUCUUCUGGUGAUUAACAUUGCUUGGUGCUGCGACAGCUAGUGGCUGCAAGUGCGCUACGGUUGCGUUUGGCGCGAUUGUGAGGUCGAGCACUGGCGGAGGCACGUCCACGACCAUUGGUUGGGGCUGGAGGUUGAACUGCUGUUUGACUACGCCGCCAACGAAAUCUUCCGUUAGCGACGGGAUCAUGCUGGCGGUCACCGUGUUACAAGGGUCUGAUGUGUUUGAGGUAAGCCAGUGGCAUCUCUUAUGACCACCGAGUGCUUGGCCAGAGGUGAACAGCCGGUGGCAUACCGAACACUCAUGCAUUUUGGUGCUUUUCUUGAACUGUGCCGCUGCAACGGCGAGCGUGGUCUCAACUAAUGGAUUGUGUUCGACGAUGGGCGCAAGCGCCAUGGAAGAAUACAGUGAUCGUGGCGUGUCGGAACUUGUCCCUAUGUUGGUGUCGACGAUAGUGGUAGCAAAACCUCCUGGGACAUGUGCACUCGCACUCGCACUCGCACCUGCAUUGAUGAUUUCGUCGACAGCAGGAGCUUUGCCAUUGUCAUUAUUUCUUCCAUCUUUGGCGAUAUUAACGGCCACCACUUGAUGAUGGCGUGUUGAUUCAGUGGCAUUGCUCGUCUCGAACUUGGCAGCGAAACACCCUUUGACUUUCUUGUGGCUAGCCCGGUGGCCUCCAAGAGCCUGGUGUGAAGUGAAUACCUUUUUGCACGCCUUGCACUCGAAAACUCCUCCACGUGGUGCGGGUGAGAUGUAUUGAGGCACAACGAGUGGCGAAGAAGGCAGUGCGGCUACGACUGACUCUUGUGAUUGUGUGAAAAAAGGAAUCGGUUGCUUCUGAUGAUGAUGAUCGUCUUUUGUAAUCGUCGCGAUAACGUUCGCCUCCUGGUCAUUAAUGUUGGAUUUGGAAGACGAUAGCAUAACGAGACAUUUCGCGAGGUCUUCCUCCUCUCCCACGGUGCUGGUGGAAGGAUCCUCCUCGGUCGUCCCAACGCGACGUGAUCUCUUUCCCUUCGACCAUGGGGUUGCUAGUAUCGGAUCCUCGUCACCACCACCAUCAGCGUUCGUAGGGGGAGAUGAUGACGAAGGUACCGGACUACCCACCUGCUCUUCUUCUCCUCCUCCUCCCUCAUCCUCUGAUCUGCUGCAUCUCGCAUGCUGAAGGAAAAGUUCCAAUGACGUAAACUCCUUCCCGCAGUUUUUGCACAGCUGACAGCUCCUGAUCAACCUAUUCGGAUUCGCCCGGAGCGCAUACGCAUGCGUCGCCGACGUCCCAACCGCGUCGUCCCACUCAUCUGCUCCGGGGCAUCGCGUGACCCCCUCUUCAUCGAGCGAGCCAUCGUCGUCGUCGACGACGCCGAACCCGUCGACGUCGCUAGCAGGGCCGUGGGCUCUCAUAUGCCCACCGAGCGCACUGCCACACGUGAACCCCUUGUUGCAUACUCGACAGAAGUGCUUGUACUCUGGCGGUGAUGGCGGCGGAGACGGUGGCAUCUGGGGAAUUAAAUGGUAACAUGUAUGUAGUGGUGAGGGGAAAGAUCAAAUUAAUUAAGUAACUAAUGUGAUUGAUAUAUAUGGAGAGCUAUAGCUAGCAGGAGAAGAAGUUUGCAUGCACAUCACAUACCAGGGACGUUAGAGAUUCACACAUUGCCGUGCGACAGAUUCAAUGCCCGCUACAACGAUGUCUUCCGAGCUAUAAUAACACGCCACAUGCCUAUGCUGAUCACAACAAUUAAUUGGUCAUGGUAACAUGUGGUGAGGGUAAAGAUCAAACAAUGCAUGUGGGGGAAAGACGCAGUACGUACGCACGAACCAGAGAUGACGAUGGAGAUUCACACAUUGCUGCCGUGACCGUGGGACAGAUUUUGUGGUGGCGACGAGACGACGGCGUCUUUCUCGUCUUUCUCAGCGACAGUGCGUCGUCCCAGUACGUUGUUGCAGCAAACCGUUUCUCUUUCAACUUCCUAAUCGUAAAAAUUGUUUGCCAUAUAUAUACAUGCUUCUCUGCCUCCCUUCCCAUGCAUGCAUGGUGUUAAUAAGCUAGCGACAUGCAAGGAGACCAUGGGUUGCUGGGUCGCCCAGUCGCCAAGUACAUGGUGGGGAAACAAUCCCUUCCGAUUAAUUGGCGGAAAAUAUCUAAACCACUGGUCCUUAAUAGGGUCAAGUUGUCUACGUCUAAUGGCGGUUAACCACUAGUUAUUUGAGCUACCGCGCCCUUCUUUAGCCAAUCCGUCUUCCUUUCCGGGUUGGCACGAUCCCGCAAUCAGAGGCUAGACACUUGCGGUAUAUUCGGAGUGUCCGUUACCUAUUUGUAGGGUGCAAAACCUUUGCUUCGAAUCUAUUUAUUCGUUUAACCAUUCAAGUACGGAAGUACCUUAUGAAAAUCCUUUCGUGACGACCACUCUUCUUUAAAACUUUAGUCUCUAAUUUUUCAAGUGCGUUCAAACAAACUAGUUACCUUAACAAAAGAACUAGCAAUGCUUGCAUCGUGGCUACAACAUUCCGUUAAAUAUUACAACAUUUUUUUUAAUUAAACUAUUAUCAAUUUAAUGCAAGAUUUAACUUAUUUUCAUCAAUUUUAAAUUACUUUUAAAUCAAAGUUGAAAUGUCAAUUUUUAAAACUUGUGGCCAGAUUUAUGUCAUAAUCAUAUCCCAUACUUUCGUAUCAAAGUGGGGACAAAUUUACAAAAAGUUGAUAAAAGGAACGGUAAUGGUGCAAGGUUAUGAAUGUCUUUUCAUGUGUUGAAUUAACACUGUUAAGUGCUAAUAACAGAGCAGGGACAAAAUGUGUGCUCGCUUCUGGAAAAGGAAGGAACAUAGAUGCAAAGUUUUAAAAAUAUGGAUAGAAACGAGGUUGCAUCCCUGAAUAGAGGAAUGAGGAAAAUGUUUUUUAAACCAUUAAUAGUAAAGAUACUAACAAAUCAUUAAAUUAUAUUGACAACCAUGAUAUAUAGUUUACAAAUAUUGUUAUUGUAGAUAAAUUAUAUAUGUUAACUAAAACAUUUGAUAUAAUUAUUCUAAAAAAUAAAUAUUAUUACAAAUGUAAUUUCUUAAUGAUUUUUUUUUUUGAAAAAAUGUGGGAGGUUGGCUAACUACCUAGGCUUCAGGAUUCGUUUAGAGUAAAUAGUGAGGAUCAUGAGACUAGAACCACUACUCGGUCUUAAAUGUAAUCUCAAAUUGUAACAUCGGAUUUAAGCGUUGUGUUGUAGUCGUGUAGAUUUUAAAUGACUAAGUAUAUCGUUGUAUAGUAUUUAAGUCUAUCUCCAGGCUCCAGCAGCUCUCAUAUCUCAUCUUUUAUUUCAACUCAUAUUUCAAACUUUCCUAUAUACACAGUGUUGUCUACAAUGCAAACCAUUAUUUUACACGAUCUGCUGGCCACAGCCUAAGUAUAGACUAUUACCUAAAAUUCUUACUUCGAAUAAAAUAUAAAGGAAUAGUUAAUAAAAAAUAUAAUAAGCAUAUAGGAUUCAAGUUAAAUUGAGGAUAAAAAUAUGUAGCAGCCAAAAAUGUUAAAAGUUGGGGGAAAUAUAGAUUCAUGGUAUUAUAAUAUACAGGUUGUAACAAGAGCCACCGUACUAUAAAACUAUCUCCGGCAGCUAUUACCCAUCUCAUCUUCAUAUUCAAACUCCACCGCGAAGAGUGCAGUCUACAGUGCAAAACAAUGUUUUGGGUGAUUAUUGGGUGAACUGCUGGAGACGAGACGAUAUAAGCCAUGGUUUCAACUAAAUUCAUAUUCAAAAUUGCCUUGCAAUAUGUGUAUAGAUGAAAAAUAUAUAGAUAAAUAAUCGAUAAAUGUAUAAAGUAUAUAAUUUACCAAUUGUAUAAGGAAAUUAUCAGCAAAGAAAAAUAUGUACUCCCUCUGGCCUCCGUCCCAAUUUAUAAUUCGUUUAAUUUAUUUACCUAGUUUGACCAGCUCGUCUUAUUAAAAAAUUACGAAAAAUAAAAAAUCUAGUCUAUAUCUAAAAUAUAUUAUAUGCUAAAGGAUAUAUAUUGUUUGACCGGCUUGUCUUAUUAAAAGAUUUGCGAAAAAUAAAAAAAUAUAUAACUAUAUCUAAAAUAUAUUAUAUGUUAAAGGAUAUAUAUAUAUAUAUAUAUAUAUAUAUAUAUAUAUAUAUGGUAGGUAUAACGGGAGCCCUGGGCUUCCGAUAGUUAAAGGAAGCCCAGGCCGACCACCCCUUCAAACUGGUUCAACCAGCGCGCCCAAACAGGCUGUCGGGUGCGCCACCUGCCACACGUCUGUUAGCGCAAAAAAAGAAAUGCAUGCAUGAGUCAAACACGAUCCAAUGCAUGCGCAUAAAUUUAGGAAAGAUAUGUGCGGCAGUUUCUGUUCUUAAAAUCCUUUAUUUCCUCCAUAAAUUUAGGAUCGCUGCAACAGCCAUGCAGCUAGACGCGUAAGGACCAUUUUAUGCUAUAUACUGAGACUAAAUAUGCUAUACUGUGUUAAUAAUUAUGCAAUUCGAUACACUGCGUAAAAAUAUGUUACCAGCUGCAUGCGCACGAAUUUAUGAUAAAAAUGUGCAAUGAAAGGAAAUGAAUUACACGCAUAGAAACAAAAAAAUCGUAUUUAAUGUUUUAUUUCCUUCAUAAAUAUAAGGUCCCUCCAACAGCCAUGCAGCUAAAACACAUUAAAUCUAGUUUAUGACAUAUACUGAUACAAAUUAUACUAUAUGGUGUAGGUAUUUAUGUAAUUCGUUACACUGCGUAAAAAAUCUGGCAUGUUGUUCACUGGUGGACGCACCUCUGGGUUGGAGCGUAAUAACCUUAAGUUUUGAGCAUAAAAUCCCUCAAUUAUAAGCGUAUAUACCGAGCCAAUGUGAGAGGUUGAUAGCUCUAGUAGGUUGUUAUUACGAUCCUAUUUUUAUGGCAGAUCCGAAAAAUAUGGCAGUCGCAUGCAUGCGGUUAUACAGAUCCUAAAAUUAUGGCAAAAUGCAUGCAUGAGUCAAUCACGUUCCCUUGCAUGCGGGUAAAUUCAGGAAAGAUAUGUGUGGCGGUUUCUAUUUUAAAUACUUUAUUUCCUCCAUAAAUUUAGGAUCGCUGAAACAGACAUGCAACUAAAACUCGUAAUGACCAUUUUAUGCUAUAUACUGAUACUAAAUAUGCUACACUGUGUAGAUAAUUAUGCAAUUCGGUAUACUGCGUAAAAAUCUGCUACAGGCUGCAUGCACACGAAUUUAUGAUGGAAAGAAUAUGCAAUGAAAGGAAAUGAAUUGCAUGCAUAGAAACAAAAAAUCACAUUUAAUGUUUUAUUUCCUUCAUAAAUAUAGGAUCCCUCCAACAGCCAUGCAACUAAACGCAUUAGAACUAGUUUAUGAUGUAUACUGAAACAAAUUAUACUACACGGUGUAGGUAUUUAUGCAAUUUCUUAGACUGCGUAAAAAAUCUGGCAUAUUGUUCACUGGUGGACGCAUCUCCGGGUGGAGCGUAAAAACCUUAAGUUUUGAGCAUAAAAUCCCUCAAUUAUAAGCGUAAAUACCGAGUCAAUUAGAGAUUGAUAGCUCUAGUAGGUUGUUAUUACGAUCCUAUUUUUAUGACAGAUCCGAAAAAUAUGGCAGCCGCAUGCAUGCGGUUUCUAUUUUUAUACAGAUCCAAAAAUUAUGGCAAAAUCGUGGGAGUUUCCAUUGCAUGCGCGCAAAUUAAGAACAGCAUAAAUCAAGGAAUUUCCUUUCAAAUGUGCAUGCAGUAAACUGAUAUACGAACUCUGUGUUAAAGCAUAAAAACAUACAGUUUUUAGCGUAAAUAAUACAUGUGAUAGGCAUAAAACACAAUAAACGAAAAGAAAAAUGCGCCGGAUCAGAGGAUGUCACGCGCGAUCAUCGCUGCGCGCAUCUCGCCCCUUCCGUGACGUCGCUCGCUCGAACAUCGCGCCUCAUGCGUCGCCGUCGCUACUCGCACGUCGACGGGCGUCGCUUGCUCGCCGGCCUUGGAAGUGCCGCCUCCUCGGGGCUUCGGGGACGCCGCCGCUUGCCUGCACAAGGGCCUCGCUGCGGAUCGAGGAACCUCCGCCACCGCGCGUCGAGGUAAUGGAGUUGCGGCCACCGGCCUGGGAAUCGCCGCCACCGCACAAGGACGCUGCCGCCGCUCGCCCUCUGGAUCGGGGGCCACCACCGCCGGCCUGGAAACCGCCGCCACCACAUAAGGACGCUGCCGCCGCCGCUCGCCCUCUGGAUCGAGGGCCGCCACCGUCGGCCUGGGAACCGCCGCCACCGCCGGCCUGACAACCGUCGCUAAUGAAUCGAGAUGGGGCGUAAAAACGGAUCCCUAGCACUACGGAUUUCCAUUUAUAGACGUCUGGACCUGGUCCGGCUCGACCGGAUUGCACUGUCUGGCCUGGGCUUCCAAUAACUAAAGAAAGCCCAGGACUCCUAAUAUACAAUCUAUAUAUAUAUAUAUAUAUAUAUAUAUAUAUAUAUAUAUAUAUAUAUAUAUAUAUAUAUAUAUAUAUAUAUAUAUAUAUAUAUAUAUAUAGUUUGACCGGCUUGUCUUAUUAAAAAAUUACGAAUUUUUUAAGACAUAUCUAUAGUAUAUUAUAUGCUAAAUGGUAUCAUAUUAAAAGUUAAUGAUAAUUAUGAUUAUUUAAUAAGAAAAGCUGAUCAAAUUUGGGGUAAAAAAUUAAACGUAUUAUAAAUUGUAACAGAGGGGAUUUUUAAAAGUCGUGCAGAAACAGAGGGAGGGAGUUUAUCAUCAGUCAACAUCAUCUUCGUUGCAACUAUAUUUUGUCCAUGUGUUUGGACUUUGGAGAGUUGCACAGACCCUCGGCGUGGACCAGGGGCAUCGGCAUAUUCACUUCAUCUGCUUCGUCCGUUUCUGGUGCUCCGAGCAAGCGGAGGCGCAACCUUUUUCGUAUGACCGUAUGGGUGGGAUGUCCUCUGCUGUGCCCACGACCUUUUAUGAUCUGCAAAGUUUAGCUGACGGUGAUGUCGUACCGACAACACGAUCGCGUCAUGCAAAUAUAUUACAUUUUUCCAGCUCUUUCACGCGUCUGAUAUGGAAUCAUUUGGUCCUGUUGGUUGGCGAUUUGGCCAUCGUGGCCCAUGAGUUGCGGUAAAGUGAUGGCAAAGUUAGCGCUGGUCCCUCCCUAUUGAUGGUAAUCGUGCUUACUCCGUAUUUCGCUGUCAAACACUCAGUCCCAAUCGUGCUUCUGUUAGCCGCUGGAAUCAAUUGUUUAUGGUUUUGUUAAAAAAAAAGUGUUGUUCUUCUCUCGGGUCUUUCUUUCUUUUUCUUUUUUACUUUUCCUGUUUGAUCGAGGUAAUAAGAAACACUUGCUACUUGCCAUGUUGGAGUACGAUGCUUGCAAGUUUAAACUCAUAGUGUAAGCCAUGAGUACUCAUUAUGCUAUUUAUGUACAUUCCGUGUGCCCUUUGGGCACCGACACCUUCUCUACCAGGUAACAGCGUGGCAGUGGCGAGGCCGCAGCUUUCGGACCCCAGUCGCUGCUACUGCUAGGCGAUAACGCAGCUGGCUUUACUAGACUGCCGCCGCCUGCCGCUGCUGCGCCCGCGCUUCUCCGGCGCAGACGAGCGGCCUGCCGAGCCGCCUGUCGACGCGGUACCAGCCGCCGUGGCUCACCUCCCGCUCCAGGUGGCGGCAGUAGCUCCGGAACACGCCGGCGCACACGUUGAGCCUGAACUGCAUCAGGAACAGGAAGUCCAGCUCCAGGGCGCUCAGCUCCGCCGCCGCCAGCCCGCCCACCGCCGCGAAGUAGGAGUUCCUGUAGUUGCGGUCCUCCACGAACUUGGACGCGACGAGGAUGGCCGUGGUCAGCAGGCGCUGCGCGUUGGCGCGCACGACGCGCACGCCGGCGCCGCGGCGGAGCCGGUCCAGGUACGCGUACGCCACCACGUACACCUGCGGCGACACGUGCGCGUAGCGGGAGAAGCGCUCCAGGAACGCGUGCAGGCUCAUGUCCAGCACCGUGCCGCCGUCGAACGCCCGCGCCCGCUUCCUCGCAGCCGCGGCCGCCGGGUCCGAGUCGUCGUCGUCGUCUUUGUCUCCCGGUGCCGACUGGUCGAGGCCGCUCGCGGCCGCCAUGGCCCGCUCGUUGAGGGCGAUGUGCCGCUCCAGGAUGGACGCGAGCACUGAGAUCACGACCGGCGGCGACAGCGCCGGUGACGUCGUUCCGUCGUCCCCGCACGGGAAGGCGAACGCGUCCGACUCCGACGGCAGCUCGCUCGUUGCCAUUUCUUGACUUGUCGGUCGGCGGUCACCAGCACAGACACAAUCGACUCACGGGGACCUGUGCUAUCUAUUGACUGGCAAAGGUUCGCUCGCGCCUCUCGACCACACACGCCUACACAGAACUGCGAGCUCGGUGAACCGUGGCUACUUAUACACGCGGGGCGUCGGCGGAGCUCCUGAUAAACAAUGGUGGGGCUGGGCCGGUGGAGUGAAGUUGACACGAGGAAGGAGCCCGGAAGCAAAGGCACUCGUAGUUAAAUUAAAAAAGAAUUCAGAUGGAUGCACAGCAGACCUGAUCGAUUGCCUCGGCCGGUACCGUGGCUGGGGAUCCGUGAUCGACGAGGCUGGAUUUAUGACAAAUCAUGAAAGACAAAGCAAGUGCUGCCUGCAGAUCAUCCUGUCGGCGCUGGCCGUACUGCCCAUUAGCUGUUUCUCCCGGUCCCAGCUCGCCCGAGCGUGUACGUGCUACCUGCUUGCCGGUCUGGCACACGAGCAUAUUUACGACGCGUGGCCUGCCUGGUGAAGAACCGGCUCUAUUUUCAAUCGCUUCCAUGCCGGCUCGAAAUGCAAUAGGUUAAGAGAUAAACAAACAACAUGGAUUACUCAGCAUUAUACUAUAUCUGUUUUCGUAUAUUUUAUCGAUCGUUAGUUUAUUUUUAAAAUAAAACGCGAUAAAUAAAAAAGAACGGUGAGAGUAUAAUCUAGGUGUCUAAAUUAUAAUAAUUCAUAAGCUGAUCAUUAGAUGCUUAUAUAAUUCGUAAUCUAGAUUAUAUAAUCAUAGAAGUAAACGUAGUUUACAACGGCAGUUAGCAAUGAUGUUUGUUUGUUUGUUCACACGUCCAAGCUCUGCCGGCGGGCGACAGUCAGUAGUGGCAUUGUCGUUCUAAACAACCGGUGCUCGGAGCAAAGGCUCGUACUGCAGACACGUUUGUUCUAUGUAGGGCGGUUAGGGCUGACGCGGACGUUGUGUCUUGGAAGCAGAGGACAAGAGCAUCGACGAGUUGAUAUAUGGCGAUUGCGAGGAGGAUACGGAAAUGCAUCUGUUGAGGAUGACGCGUACCGGCACGCACUAAUUAUAAUAAUUUUUAUUUUUAAUUUCUCCAGAAAACGAUGCAUAUGCGUUCGUUCAGUUGCAAGUUCACGUCGCUUGCUGAGCUCCCACAUCCAGCAUGUACAAACGCAAAGACCAAAUUAUCUGACAAUUUUGACUUAUGCCUUUUAAACUCACCCUUCCCACUUCCAGAAACUUAAAAUGCUGAAGAAAUGGCGACUCAAACCUGACCGUAGGAAAAAUGUUAGUUCUGGCGCUGACAUGACACGCAUACGCAUAGGGCGUGGGGGCAGAACAGAAACACGAGCCUGCCACUUUCUCGACCUGCUUUGGUAUUAUAUCUACCGUACACGAUAUAAUUAGCUAAAUCCCAACAUUGGGACUACAAAGCUAUUUUGAUAAUGUCCCACGUCUGGCCAGUUGGAUGGGCCGGCCUGGAGAUAAUAAUAAUAAUGUCGCUGCGUGCCAAGCAAAGUUGACAACUCUUUCGAAGCGAGACGGGAAGAAUUGCAAGUUGGCAAACGAAAUUAGAAGCGACCGAACCAAUAAUGAUACAAGCUGUCAAUCUGGUGUGUGCACAAAAGCGUUUGUUUGCUUCUCCGUUGAUCACCGAAAUACUUUUGGCCUAUUGUAUCCUUUGCUCAAAGUGUUCGUAGAUAGGUAAAUAUAAAAUGAACUUAUUAAUUAAAAAAUAAAAUAAUUUUAGACCAUAUUUGAAUGCACUAGACUUAAGAGUAACUCCAAAAAAUUAGCUAAAAAGAUUAGCCAAAUUUAUUGGUUUAGCUACUCUCUAAAAUAUAUUUUACAAAAUAAGUGUAGGUUAAUACAGACUCGGUAAGCCUAUGGACUAAAUAGAGAGUGAAGCAUGCUAUCCCAAAAUGGAGAGCGAAUGAGUAAGGAAAAAGAGCCAUUAAAUUUGAAGAGUCGUUUAUAGAGUUUAUUGGAUAUAUUUUUCUAAUAUUAGCUAAAUUUACCUUUACAAAACCAUAUACAUACUCUCUUGUAGAUGCUCUAAUAAUUAACAUAUAAAAUUAGAUGAUUUUUAGUUGCACCUUUAACUACCCAUUAGUUAGCUGGUUCAACUCAGCUAAAAUUAGAUAGCUAUUUGUUACAACAUCUUCAAGAGACUCUUCAUUUUUAACUCUUUAUUUGACUCUCUAUUUGUCUCUUCAUAAAUAUUACACUUUAUAUGUAUCACCUCACUCUAUCAGACUCUCUAUCUGAUAUGGAUAGUCGGAGUGACUAGCCAAGUUUUGCUAGAAAGUUGGGAGAGGUAAAUUUAGAGAGCCGCAUAGCUUGACAAGUUAAAUGACUAGUUUGUUAGAGAGUUGUUUUGUUAUUUAGGGGGUGUUUGGUUAGAGGGACUAAACAUUAGUCUCUAGUUUUUAGUCUCAUUUAGGGCAUGUUUGUUUCGCCUUAUAGAUUAUAUAAUCUGGAUUAUAAUCUAAAUUAUAUAAUCCAGAUUAUAAUCUAGAUAUACUAUAAUCUAUAUGUAAUUGUUUGGUAGUUUAGAUUAUAUAAAUGUAGAUUAUUCACAAAGACAACAAUACCCUUAUUUGUUUAUUUGAGGUGAGAAAAAAAGAUGGCAUAUAUUGUAAUUUCUAUUUACAUAACCAUGGGUAGUGGGUCUUUUGCCAAAAUAAUCUCAAAUAAGCUACUCUUUAGGAGAUUAUGAGAUUAUCAUAAUCUGGGGUUUAAAUUAUAUAAUCUGAAUCCAUAAUCUAGGUGUUUGUUUACCUACUGGAUUAUUUGCGUUGGAUUAUAUAAUUUGGAGAGAUUACAAUCGGAAACAAACAAGGCCUUAGUCCCUUUUUUGCCAAACACUAGGACUAAAAUAUAGAUUAAAAUGAUUUAGUCUUUAGUCCUUCACAUAGGUGCUAAAAGAGACUAAAAGCCCAUAAUUAUCAUGUUGCCCUUACUUUUUUGUAUGGAUAACUAAUAUUAUGAGUAUAUUCUAAGGGCAUUUGAGUCUUUGGAUAUUGUAUUUAAUAAUUUUAGAAUCUGUUUAGUCCUUAUAACCAAACAUGUAGGGACUAAAGUUUAGUCCUAGACUAAAGUUUAGUUAUAUGACUAAUUGAAACCAAAUAUGGCCUUAGUAUCUAAAAUUUGGCUAAACGAGUCAUUUGACUAGUCAUUUGGAGAUGCUCUGUCAAUUAAUUUCUCUAGCUAACUAUUAUUGUAGCAUCCAAUUUUUUAGUUUUAGGGGUGUUUGGUUUCGAGGGAUUAUUUUUUAGUCUCUCUAUUUUAUUUAUUUUAAAUUAACAAAUACGAAAACUAAAAAUUUCUUAUUUGGGAAUUUAGAAAUUUAAAUUUAGAAACUUAAUCGUGUCCAGCAGCCAGGAUAACGGAAAGUAACGCCGCGUAAGAAAAACCUUUCGGUCUAAACAUUUCGUCGAACGCCAGCGGCGAGUCGAGCUCGAGCUCGAGCCCCAGUCACCGCAGCCAUGCUCCUCACGAAACCCUACCUCUCCAACUCGCUCCUUCCAGUCCCAUCCCCGCCGCCGUCGGGCCCUACUCUCAGCUCCAACCAUGCAAGCCCCCUUGCCGCCCCUACUUGCCGUCGCAGCCGCCUCCGCAUCUCCGCCACAUCCACGGCUGCGCCGUCUCCUUCGUCGGCUGCCGCUGCCACCGCGUCGCUGAGUCGAGUGGACGUGCUCUCGGAGGCGCUCCCUUUUAUUCAGCGAUUCAAAGGCAAGACGGUGGUGGUCAAGUACGGCGGUGCGGCGAUGAAGUCCCCGGAGCUGCAGGCGUCCGUGAUCCGCGAUCUCGUGCUGCUCUCCUGCGUCGGCCUCCGCCCCGUGCUUGUUCACGGCGGCGGUCCGGAGAUUAAUUCCUGGCUGCUGCGCGUCGGCGUCGAGCCGCAGUUCCGCGACGGCCUCCGCGUCACGGACGCGCUCACCAUGGAGGUCGUCGAGAUGGUGCUAGUCGGGAAGGUCAACAAAAACCUUGUUUCCCUCAUCAACAUCGCGGGAGGCACCGCCAUUGGUCUGUGCGGCAAGGACGCGCGCCUUAUCACCGCUCGCCCGUCUCCAAAUGCAGCGGCGCUGGGAUUCGUCGGCGAGGUUUCGCGCGUGGACGCCACCGUCCUCCAUCCCAUCAUCGCCGCGGGCCAUAUCCCGGUUAUCGCCACCGUUGCCGCCGACGAGACUGGGCAAGCCUAUAACAUCAAUGCUGAUACGGCGGCUGGCGAGAUUGCCGCUGCCGUGGGCGCCGAGAAGCUGCUGUUGCUCACAGAUGUGUCUGGCAUUUUGGCGGACCGUAAUGACCCUGGGAGCCUGGUGAAGGUGGUCGACAUUGCUGGGGUGCGGAAGAUGGUGGCUGACGGGAAGGUAGCUGGUGGGAUGAUACCCAAGGUGGAGUGUUGUGUUCACGCCCUUGCACAAGGUGUACACACCGCAAGUAUCAUUGAUGGGCGUGUUCCACACUCUCUUCUGCUUGAGAUUCUCACAGACGAGGGCACAGGCACCAUGAUCACUGGCUGAGCUGCUUCAUGCCUUCAUGGUAUUUUCCUGUGCCUCUUUUCUCAUAUUGUUGUGUUUUAUGGCUAUGUAGACUAAACUCAAGAUUGCAAUAAGACUACCUAAGUUUGGUUGAGAUGUUUUGUGUUUGUGCGCCCAUUUAGUACAUGUUGUUACAAACUUUGGAUUAGAGGAAUAAUGAUUAGUUCUUAGGACUUGUUAUAAUAUAUAUAAGCACAAUAAUAUGGGCCAUUAUGGGCCUUAACACCCCCUUCAAACUCAAGGUGGAAGCGGAGGAUCUGAAGCAUUGAGUUUGAACAAGUUGAGACGAUGUUGUUCUCUUGUUUGUGCUUUUGUGAAGAAGUGUGCAACUUGCAUAUCCGAGGACACAUGUUGAAGAGCAAUAGUUUUCUGUUGACAAUGAGACCCUGUGAAGAAAACAUCAACACUAAUAUUUUUUGUAGGUUCACGCUUCACAUGAUCAUUUGCAAUUUGAAUGGCUCCAGUGCUGUCGCACAGAAGAGGCGUAGGAGUAUCACAAGAGACACUAAGAUCAGCCAACAACCAUUGUAGCCAUAUAAUCUCGGCAGUAGUGGUAGCAAGAGCUCGAACUUUUGCUUCUGCACUUGAUCUUGAUACAACAACUUGCUUCUUUGAUUUCCAUGCAAUAGGAGAGGAACGAAGAAAAAUACAAACCUGUAAUAGAGCAGCGAUUAGUGCGAUCACUCACCCAAGUGGCAUCAGAGUAGGCAUGAAGCCGAAGAGGACUAUUACAAUCAUAGAAUAAGCCUCGAGAUGUGGUUCCCCGUAAGUAUCUUAAUACACGAAGCAAGUGACCAUAAUGGACUGAAGUAGGCGUAGAGACAAACUGACUCAGAAUAUGAACAACAUGAGCAAUAUCCGGUCGAGCGAUAGUGAGAUAGACUAGACUGCCAACUAUAUGUCGAUAUCUGGAUGGAUCCUGUAGUGGUGAACCAUCAUUCGAACAAAGUUGUAAGUGAAUAUCCAUGGGUGUUGCAGCUGUACGAUUAUCAGUCAGACCAGAGCGAGCAAUAAGGUCUUGCAUGUAUUUAGACUAUAAUAGAUAAUAUCCCUUUGUAGAUUGUAAUACCUCAAUACCCAGAAAAUAUCCAAGAGGGCCUAAAUCAGACAUCUUAAAUUGCUCACUAAGAUGUUGUUUUACUUGAGAAAUAUGUUAUGGAUCAUCACCCGUAAUGAGCAUGUCGUCAACAUAUAAUAGGAGCAAGGUGUGCCCUCGUGAAGAGGAAUAAAGAAAUAAAACUGGAUCAUGGUCACUAGGGGUAAAACCAGCAGCCCUUAUGAGUUAUGACAGCUACGAACCUUUGAAACCAAGCACGAAGGGUCUGUUUCAAUCCAUAUAAAGCUUUACGCAGACGACAGACAUGUUCGGAAGGAAUAUCAACUCCUGGUGGUGGGUGUAUAUAAACUUCUUCAUGUAAAUCACCUUGAAGAAAAGCAUUUUUGACAUCCAUCUGAGAGAUAGUCCAUGAACAUGAUGCUGCAACAACAAUCAAAGUACGAACACUGGUCAUAUGUGCAACCGGUGCAAAGGUUUCAUCAUAAUCUAGUCCCUGAGUUUGUUGAAAACCUAUGGCUACAAGACGAGCUUUAUAUUGCUCAACUGAACCAUCAUAUUUGGUCUUAAUCUUAAAAACCAUUUACAUGUUAUAGGGACUACAUGGGAUGGUAGAGGAACAAGAUCCCGAGUACUCAUUCGAUCAAGAGCAUCCAACUCUUCUGGCAUAGCAAGCCGCCAUUCAUGAAUACUAGAAGCUUCAUGAUAAUUAGAUAGUUCAAUAAUGACAACAACACUAGGAAAUCCAUAGAGAUCUGGAGGUUCAAUUGUACUACGAUCACGAAGAUAAUAUCCCUGGUGAUUUGGUAACACAUCAGCAAACUGUGGCCCAUCAACAAUCUGUAGAUCAUCAAAAACAGAUGGAGAGUCAUCAUUGUUAGUACAAACAUCAACAACUGGUUCGCCAUCAGAAUUGGCCGUGGGACUAGUGCGAGGACGACAAAUGUAGGUUUUGGUAAGUGGUGGUUUUGAAGCGAAGUGUGAAGUGGGUGUUGAGGUAGAAGGAUUUGUAAUGGGAAUGAUAACAUCAGACAAGGAUGGGUAGACAAUGGUAUAGUAGAAGAUGAAGACCCAGAUGGAGCAUGGACGGGAGGAAGGCACAUGAAAGAGGUUGACUCUGUAGAAAAAGAAGAUGAAUGUGUGAGAAAGUUAUAAAAGAAUGUCGGUUUUCAUUAAAACUCACAUCACGUGAAAUACGAAUGUGACGUGCUGAAGGAUCAUAACAUCUAUACCAUUUGUGCUCCGGACUAUAUCCAAGAAAAACACACUCAACAUAUUGAGCAGUUAAUUUAGUCCGUUCACGAGAGGCUAACAACACACAACAUGUACAUCCAAAAACUCUAAGAUGGUCAUAGCGAGGAGUUCCAAAAAGAACUUCACCCCGAGUUUUCCCUGAUAGUGUUGAUGAUGGUUGUCUAUUAAUGAGGUAGACAACGGUAGACAGGGGACAAAAGAUAUAAAAAGAGUGCGAGCAGUUUCUAUGACAUGACAAUGCUUGCGUUCAUCAACACCAUUUUGAGCAUGUGCACCAGGGCACGAAAACUGAGCUAGGGUACCCUCUGAAGUUAGAAAUUGUCGAAAGAAUUGGAUAAAUAUUCACCACCAGAAUCAGAGUGGAAAAUCUUAAUAGGAGCAAAAAACUAGGUGUGAAUCAUGUGGGCAAAAGACCUAUAGAUAGAAAGCAACUCAGAAUGACGUUUCAUGAAAUAGAUCCAAGUAUAACGAGAAUGAUCAUCAACAAAAGUAACAUAAUAUUUAUUUCCACCUUUUGAAACCAAAAGAGGUGGGCCCCAAACAUCAGAGUGAAUAAGAUCAAAUGGUCUAGCAGAAUGAGUCACUGGUAAAAUAAGGAAGUUGUAUUUGUUUUCCAAGAUGACAACCCUUACAAUGAAAGCUAGACUCAGAUGACGAAUGACCUAAACAACUUGAUUUUAUUAAGGUGGAUAGACACGAGCCACACAAAUGACCUAGACGGUGAUGCCAUUGGGCAAAAGAGGCAGCAUGAACUGAGGCUGCAGAAAGCACAUGGGCCGUAGAUGAUGAAGUGGUCGAAGGAAGGCGCAAGCUGUCAAGGAUGUUGAGGUGAGGGCGACGGCCUGUCCCAAUCACAACCCCUAUGCGACGAUCCUAUGCAAAACGAGAUGAGUCAUCAAAUCCAACAAAGCAAUUGUGGUUUGUAAUUUGUCCAACUGAGAGGAGAUUCAUGGAAACUUAGGAACAAAAAUAUAUAUUAGAAACAGUAAACUGAGGUGUGCAAAGAGAACCCUUGUGGGUUAUAUGGCAUAAAGUACCAUCUGCGGUCUGAAUAGAGGCAUUUUCUGUGACAGGUGUAGAAGAGACUAAUUGUGUCUGAUCAGAUGUCACAUGAAAGGAGGCCCCUGAGUCAAGAGCCCAAGACGAUGGCGAGGCUGUAGCUGGUGAAGUAGAUGCAAUAGCAACUGAACCUCUAGGUGCAGAACCUUUGCCACGACCACGAGCUGCCUGCCUGUCGUGUACGGAAAUCGGCCAACUUCUCUGGAAAUUUAACAAAACAAUUUUCAGACCGAUGAGUGUGCUUCUUGCAAUGCUCACAAGGUACUGAGGAAUAUCUCCUUGCCACAUAGGACUUCUGAGUAGCAGCCAACACAUUGUGAGACUUAGAACCAGUAGCAGAAGACAAUGCUUUGAGGCGAGUCUCUUUAGCAAGUAGUUCAGACAAUGCCUUUGCCAUUGUGAGAAUAUCAGAACUGUGGAGCAGUCAUGCUCAUGCACGAAGAGAGUCAUAUUCAGCCCGAAUCCCCAUAACAAAUUUGUAUGUAAAGAACUUUUCAAUGAACUGAUGAGCUGGACAUGGAUUAGUUGCACAAGCUGGCACCAUAGAUAGCAAAGAAAUCAUCAAACAAUCAAAAACAGAAUAGUACUCAUCAAUAGUCAUAUCGUUCUGCUCAAUAACAUGUGUUUGGUGCAUAAUAGUGUGUAAGAGAGCACCACUGUCUUGAACAAACUUUUUUUCUCGAAAGCGCAGGAGAACUGCGCGAUAUUAUAUUAAAGAAGGACAGUUACAGAAAAAACAACUGAGGCGCCUAUGGCGGCCAGUAACAGGCAUACAGAAAUCCAUCCAUGACUAAAUAAGAAACUAACACAAGUUACCACAAUGCUAGCUAACUAGCAGGGAUGCCCGAAAUGGGGGCAGUGAGCAAAGAUAACUUCUUUGCACCGGCCAUCUCCCAUAGGUGAGUCUUGAACAAACUGACCCUUCAAAUGAGAUCAAAUAGCUUUACCAGUGGUGAACUUGGACAAGCUCAUAAUCAUGGAUGGUUUAGUGCUGUUAACCAUGUCAGCCAUCACUUUGCCAUCAUUAAUCUGCCAAGUUUUGAUAUCAGCAGCAUGACUACGAUCCUCACGUAAAGCAGGUGGAUCCUUAGUUAAGUGAAAAAGCAAUCCAUGACCACACAGUGCAGUCUGAACACAGAAGGCCCAUUUUGGAUAGUUGUGACCAUCAAGAACGAUGUUAACCACAGUAGCAUUGACUGACAUGAUGUUGGAUUGAUGAGAUCACACAAUAGUGAUAGCAGCGAAGGAAUGGCCAAUAAGAACUGUAGAGAUGACCUUAUAUGUUGCCCCAAACCUGAUCCGCUGACCCAAAGGAGAUGAAGGUACAACCAAAUCCGUCGGGGAUGAAGUUGAAGAACACAGCCUGGACAGCAGCAGAGCAGUCCAACAAGCGUGCUAUGCUCUGGACAGCAGCAGAGGGUCCGGGAGGCCUGGCGAGGACUUCUUGGACCGCGGAUCCGAGCAGGAACUGGCCAGGCGGCGAGAUCCGAUCCGGACAGAGGGCGGCAGGGCUGGUCUCGAUCGGUGGCGGGUCCUGGCGGCGGAUCAGCAGCAGAUCCGGACAGUGGCGGUGGAGCAGGGCCGCCUGGCGGCAGAUCCGGACAGGUUGGGGUGGCCUGGACGGGCGGUUGCUGGAAGAAGCCGCGACGGUGGCGGAUCCGGACGGCCUGGACGCGCGGGGCGGCGGAUCUGGGCCGCCUGGCGGCAGAUCCGGACAAGGCGGGGCCGCGGCCAGAAGAAGCCGCGACGGCGGCGGAUCCGGACGAUGGGGAUGGCGGCCAAGGAACGUCCAGAAAAAAAUUGGGAUUAGACCCUAACUUUGACCUGCUUUGGUACCAUGUUACUUACCUUGGAUUAGAGGAAGGAUUAUUAGUCCUUAGGACUUGGUAGAAUAUAUAUAGGCACAGUAAUAUGGGCCAUUGUGGGCCUUAACAUAUGUAACAUUGUUGGCCAACUUAUUGAGGAAAAUGAUGAAAUUCUGUCAUUUGUUUGGUAAAUUUGAUAAAUUUAGGUUAUAAUCUGUCUAAGCGAAACAAUAUAUAUUGUAUAGUGGUGAGAGUUGUCCUACUGACUACUGAGUCACCAGGUCGUGUGUUCGAAGCAGCCUCUAUGCAUUUGAAGUAGCCUCUAUGCAUUUGCGGGAGGAAGGCUUGCCUCGGAUUAUACCUUUCCUAGAACCACUCAUGUGGGAACCUCAGUCACUGGGUCUGCCCAGUAUUUAUUGUAUGCAGUUUAGAAUCAUUUGUUUUAAAGGAAUAGCUUCAAAUGAGAUUGUCCUGCAAAGGUUGUAAAACCUGUAAAGUACAUAUUUUUCUGUUUUUGUGCUGCGAAUAGAUGUGAUGCUUGUACUGGUUAGUAUUUCUCUUCAAUGAGUAGAUAAGACACAUCUAGACCGGAAUGAGAGAGAUAUCAGUAGCUUUAGUUAACUGAUUAACUGUGUAAAAUAAGGCUUUCGCUUCGAGUCCUCUGAAUAUCUUUGUAGCAUAAACAUUGUGUUCGAAACAAUAAUGGGCAUGUUUGGUACAACUUUUUCCUGAAGAGCGAGCUUAUCUGAGAAUCUGGGUUCGUGAAUAAUCUAACUGUCAAAAGAAUCUGGAUAUCACGGGGCUUGUGUGUGGAGGAAGAUAAAGGGGCCUAUAUGGUUUAAGGUUUAGGAAGCGGCGAAUUCCUUCUAUUGAGAUGACUCGGUGGAUUCUGCAUUCAUAUUGAUUUGGGUGAUUUUUACAGAAACGGGCUGAGAAGCGAAGCGUUUGGUGGCCAGAAACCGAUUCUGACGGCCAGAAGCCGAUCCAAACAGGCCCGAUGUUGGAUUGAAUAAUAUUUUUUGAAAUGCUUGAUCGUGAACAUCAGUUGUCCUUCAGGCAAGGUUUUUGCACAUUAAUGAGAAUUGUCCAAGUUAUGUGCCAUCCUACUUUGGUUACUGCUCACGAUUAUUUUUGCUUGUGACAUAUGAACUUGAAUGGCGUUAUUUCAAUAGUACCUAACUGCCAAGUGCCAACAACAUCAGGGAUAUUUCAUGGUCAUGGAAAAUGUUUGAUUCACCAUCUCAAAUAUAUUGAAAACCGAGUGAGGGCAUUUAAUUAAGGAGUUAGCAGUAGCAUCACUAAUGUUUUUUCUGUAACUAGUAUUUUGUUAAUCAAGUGAACUUUAGUGAAAAUAUAUUUGGGAUCAGAGGGAAUACUUCAUGUUAGCUCACUCAGUCUGAAAAAAUAUCAUUCUGCUUGUGAAAAGAACCUUCUUGAUGCUGAUUAAGCAUGAUGUGGGUCGCUGGCUCCAUACUGCUCUGCUGGGAUCUAUCAUUAUCUAGCCAUUAGAUACUGCCAUAUCUUUCUAUUAAAAGGAUGGAUUUAAGGAUUCCUUUUUUUUUUGUUUUGCCAGUAUGAAAAUUUUCAGUUGAUGACUAGGUGAGUGCCCGUGCGUUGCAACGGAAAUAUAAAAUACCACGACAAGUUAUAUAUGUGUGUUUUAUACUGUUAUUAGAAAAUGUUUCGUAAUCCAUUUGUGAUCCUAACUAUGUAUAAAUUUUGUUAUCUUAAUCUAACUAUUUCACCUCUACAUAGUACAGUGCCCGUGUAUUGCAAUGACACAGUCAUUUUUAUGAGGCGGGGAUAUAGAAUUGCUCAUAUGUUACUUUCUAUUCAUGCUUGAAGUAUUCAGGCAGAACCGUGCACCACGGUAUACUGUGGACGCCUACACUAAGGCCUUAAAGAGUAGUAGAGAUAGAGAUAUCUAGUCCAGGAACCCUGUUUGCAACGCUGGUUUUACUUCCUGUAGUUUCAGAAAUUUAGAACUGACAAAACUGUAAAUUAUAACUCAAGUUCAGGAGCCCUUGUUAGGAUGUUAGCUACAACUAUAAAAUGACACUUGUCGAUCAAUAUAUUUUACAGAGGGAGAAAGAACUAUCAUGUGGAAAUGUCAUAAAGAACCAUACACCACACAGAUAAGUAUAGAACUUAGACAACACGCUGAUGUGUAAUUCAACGCCAUCUUUUAUAUAGCAUAACAAUAAUAUAAGGAAGUAGCUCCAGCUCCAUCUUUUGCAUGCACUACAGCUAUGGUUAAACUGGCUUGUUCCAUAGCCUCCUUGCCGGAUCAGGCUUCACAAUUCUAAAUUGGUCCAAAACCUCCAUCGUACUUGAGCUUACAAACUGAAGAAGAGAGAUUAACAAUUGUUCAGAGUGAAAUUCCCAAAUGGCCCUCUUUCUGAAUUUUCUGGAAUUUUCGUUAUUCAAUGCCCCACAUCAAUCUCCAAAGUACUAAUUCAAACAUGUGAAAGGAGAGAAAAUAUUGCGAAAAGGAAUGGAAAUACAAAAACUGACCUGAACCAGCAUAUCACCUCUUGUGGCAUGCACCCUGGCAUACCCGAAUUCUGAAACUCUUGAUAAGCUCCACUUGUUCAACUGAUAUCAAGGCAAGAUUUUGUUAACGAGCAUGUACAGUAUUCGAUAUCAAUUUAAGGUUAUGAACUUAAAAGUAUAUCUCAAAUCUGAAUGUUCAUUGAAUAAUUAUUACAAGAAAUCUCAUUCAACCAAACGCCAUGUCGUUUGAGGCGAAGACGCACACCACGCCAACUGGGUACACCCCAAUAAUAAGGAAACCCUACUCCUAGCCUGAGAACUAAGAAACAGUACCUCGCAUUUGCCACGGCGGGGACGUGGCCGACACCGGUGAAGGCGGCGGCGAGGAGGAUGCCCCAGCGGCGACCAGAUCCGGCUCCAUCGCUGCGAUCUGUGAGGCUAUAUAGAAGAGAUUAGGAUUGGGCAAAUUGAAUUUUGCACGGGAGGAUGUCUUUGUACUUGACGAUUGCUGAAGCUUGCCAUCAGGGACAUCUGCGACUGCAAACAAAAGCAUGCACCUGUGUCACUUGCUUCUUCUCGCAGAGCAGGAAGCCAGCAGGGAAAAAUACGAAGAAUAAAUCAGAUGUGAUGCCAACCUGGCUGGCGAGGAGGAUGCCCCAGCGGCGACCGGAUCCAGCUCCAUCGCUGUGAUCUGGUGGUCGGGGAAGAGGGCAUCUCAUCGCUGCGAUCUGGUUCAAAUACACGGAUAGUUGUUAAGCCUAUCAAACAGAUAUAAUAAAAACAUGUAUUCUGCAAAAGUUCUACCUUGAAAGCCCUAGAUCUUCUAGCUGGUGUAAACAAAAUAUCAUCAAGAGAGCCAUUUUCUGCAUACUGGGGUGUUUCAAUCAAGAGAUAUUCCAAAGCAUGUCCAUUAAUUCAUCUUGUUCUGAUAAUGGCAGAUCUACCAUGUCAAACCUCUUGAUAGAAAGGAGCUGUGAGUGUGUCUACAAUUUUUAGUAAAACUAUAGAGAAAAUCAUCACCGCUAGGAAGUUUGGUAAAUCAGUACUUCAAUAUUUAGAAAAAUCACAAAGGUAAAUCUUAUCAAGACCAAAAAACAUUAAUAAAAAGGUAAAUCGUAUCAAGACCCAAAAAAUUAAUAAAAGACCCAAAAACAUUAAUAAAAAGACCCAAAAACAGUACUUCAAUAUUACAUUAAUAAAUCAGUACUUCAAUAUUACACUACAAAUUCCAUCCUCCUUUGCGCGUAAAUCUUAUCAAGACCCAAAAACAUUAAUAAAAAGAAAAACAUGUAUUUUCUCCCCUCACAGAAACCCUCUCAGCAAAACCUUUUUUUACUCAGAGGUUUCCUCCCCGACCUGCUUAUACAUGAUGUCCACUAUCCCACAGAACCGGAUAGGUAAGCAGAAGCUUGUUAAUCAUGCAAGCAGUAAAUAGGAAUUUACAGAACAAGAAAGUAGAAAGAGCAUGUAGCAUAAAACACUGACAUGGAAGUUGAUUGAUUUUCAUGCUGACACAGAGGAAACACGACAGGUUCUUGCUCCAGUUCAAGCUCCAGCCGAUUCAAGCUCCAGUUCGCCCAGCCCCAGCCGGACGACAGGUGCCAGUAGACCGAGGAGGGCCAAGAUCCAGCAGAUGCAACUUGCGCCAGAUAAAACGGAGAGAAAACACGACAGGGCAACGAGAAGUGUAGUUCAGGGUUUUAGACUUCGGCUCCAACCAAUUCCACACGCCUACUGUUUGUUUUUGGCCACUUGCAGAGACAUGUAAAUACAACGGAAUUUAUGUUCAAUGCCACCUCAGUGUUUAAUCACACAGUUCAGGUUUAUGUAGUAGUGCUGUCAACGUGAAGUCCUCGCACUAACAUGAAGUCCUCGCACUAACAUUAAGGCCUCGCACUAAAAAUAGAAAUUCACCCAUCGGCUUUGUGAUCAACAGCUGUCAACGUCGGCACCAGUGCUGAUGCGGCAAACCCACUAAAUGCAUUACCCCGUUCAGGUUUAUGUAGUAGCUACAAUUAGCAUAUAAACCUAAACCACGAACAGCAGUAGAAAAAACAAAAAAAGAGAAAAUCACCUUGCCGCUGAAUUUCUUCUCCAGCUCCCUGACGAGUCUGACAUGGAUCUUCCUAAAGGCCUUGCGCAGGCGGUAUGGGACGUGGAUGACAACAGCCUUCCUGCUCCCGGUAACAUCCAUCUGGCUGCAAAGUCACAACAAACAUCCUCACCAAAUGUCACAACCAUGCACCACAUACUACUACAUCUCAACAGGCGAUAGAAGAUAGAAAGAAACGUUACGCAUACAUAGCAUUGUUGAUGUACAGGUCCUUGAGGUCGCUCUUGAGCUCCUGGUUCCCGUUCUCCAGAUCAAAUAAAGCAUGCAGGUACAACAAGCCAAAAAGCACAUCACAACCCCGACACAUUGGGAACCACAAACAAACAGAGCAGCAGUUCAAGGAAAAUAAACGCAGUAAAAGGAGGAGAGAGGAGGUGGGUUGGCGCUAUGCUCACCUGGGCAACGGAGUCCUCGAACUCGGAGGGCUCAAGGCCCUUCUCCUUCUGGAUCUUCUUCCUCGCGGUGUACAUCUUGCCUUCCCUUCGCCGCCGGACCCUGCGACCAAGGAGGAGAUUCGAUAAGCAGAGCACGGAUCAGCAACCAGCGCAAGGGGAGAUGAUAACCAUAGAACGCGAGGGCAGAUCGAUGGAGGCGCAGCCGAAGUGAGCUGAGCCAGUGCUCCUCACGCACGAGACCUACAAGUACAAGCAUGACAGCCAAAUCGCAUCAGUGGGGGCACUGCAAUGUGCUAGGAAUCAUAGGUCAUUUCGUCAGGGAUGAGGAUGAGGGCGUUGCAAUCAACCAAGCACGGGGGUGUGUACCUUGACGGGGUCGGACGCGGCGACGCGGGAUCCGGCGGCGAUGGCGCGGAGGGGCGCGGAGAGCGCCGCCAUAGGUGGGGGUGGGGAAUGGGAGCGGGCGGGCGGGCCUGCGCGUACGGUGCGGCAGAGACGAGUGCGGGAGGGACGCGGGAUGCGGCAGGGGCGUUGGAUGCGAGUUGGACGCUCUGGAUGUGGCAGAACCGUGCACCAUGGUUGGCUGUGAACGUCUACAAUAGGUACUUAAUUAGUAGUAGAGACUAGAAAGUAGAAACCCCCCUUAAUUUGAUGAAACUAGUCCUGUUUUGCACGAUGACUCAAGGUGUUGACAUUGUGUAUAUUCCUGUGCCUCUCUUGUAUUGUCAUGUACGUUAGGGCGAUGCGGUCUUGACUCACAUUUGUAACAACAAUACCUAGGUUUGGUUGGGGUGUUUGUGUGCCAAAUUAUUAUUAUUUGUAACUUUGUUGAUGACUGUUUAGGAAGAUACUGACAUUGUGUAGUUUGCUUGUUAAAUUUGAUCAAUUCAGAUCACAAUCUGUUUAAGCUAAGCAGUAUUUAUUGGCUGCAGUUCAGAAUCAUUUGUUUUAAACUUCACGUGAGAUUGGUCUUCAAAGGUUAUAGAACUGCAGACGACAUAUGCAGCUGUAUUCAUUCAUCCUGUGAAUAGAUAUGAUGCUUGUACCACUUAGCGUUUCUUUUGAAUGAGAUGAAAUGCAUCUAAUAAACUAGAAAGAGAGUGAUGUCAGUAGGUUUAGUUAACUGAUUAGUUUUUGCAAAACAUGACUUUUGCUUUGAAGCUCCGAAUAACUUUGAAGUAUAAAGCUGUGUUUGAAGCAAUAAUGUUGUAUAGCAUUUUCUAAAUGCUUGAUCAUGAACCUAUUAUGUAUGUAAUGCUAAAAGUUUAAUAAAAAUACAUGCAUAAACAGAAUUGGACUGAAGUUGCUUAAUGAAAUGUUUCAAUGUUGCCUUUUCUGUCCAGUACAUUGGUUGUCCUUGAGGCAAGGUCUUGCAACAUUGUUUGUCAUGGGUCUGAGUUGUGCGCCAUACUGCUUUGAUUACUGACCAUGAUUUGUGAGAUAAAAAGUGUCAUGCAUGCAAAACUAUGCUCUCACUCGCACCACAAGAAUUCUUCUAGCAACCUGCAGGCUAACUACUCGCACUUCCAUAUUCUUUUUUUUUCAUCGUUACUCCCUCCGCUCCAAAUUGCAUACAUUAUCAAUUUAGUUUUAUUAACUUGUCCAUGAAAUAUGUUUUGAUAGUGCAUUUAUUUGAAUUUUUAGAUGUCAAUACAUUUUUUUUCCUAAAAAAAUAUGGUUAAAGUUAGAUUUUUUUUGAUUUAACUAUAUUAAUUUGAAACGGAGGGUGCAUUUAAGAGCGAGAAAUCAUGCCUACCAUCUUAAUACGGAACUCAUUAAAAAAUUCAUUCAUAUAGCAUACACCAUGAAAUCUAGAUCCAGAUUCUAUUUCUACCUGACCGACAUUUUCGUUUGUAUCUGACUAGGCUUGUCCGUCUGCGACUCAAUUCUUUAGCAUAUCUUUUACUAAACCCAUUUCUGCCUCAGAUUGCUGUUCCAACAUACAUAUUUCACUUAAACCUAAUUUUCCUGUUCUGUUCUGUAAUGUUACUUCAUGAUCCUUUUGGUUCGAUACUUUGACUUGAAUAUAGAUCCUUUUUUUACUUUCAAAUGGUCUUGAAAUGGUAAGCAUCCAUUAAAAAAAGGUUAACCAUCAAAUUCCUCGUCUUUUGUUGAUGCUAAGCAUUAGAUUCCUCCACUUCUUGGGCCAAUCGAGUCGGUAACCGGGACUUAUAAUGGAAAGUAACUCUGGAGUGCAAAGGCUGCCUAGCCCUUAGCUUAGGUCAUGGAGAGUGAUAGUUCAGAAAUGAACUGUUUUUGCUGGUGAACAAAAAUGACACAUUAGAUGCCGUAUAUUCGGUCAAUAAUGCCUGGUUUUUUUUUGCAAGAAUAAUGGCUGAUAUUCACGAGGUCUUGGUUCAUUGUUCGGCUGCUGUGUUCAGUGGCGCACUUUCUAGUUGCCUUUUGUUUAGACACGAAGCAAUGGUCCUAACGACACAUAAUUUUUUUUUAUGUCUUCAAAGACUUGGUUCGGCUGCCGCCCAGGUUGAGCAGCAGCAGGCGCAGUACUGCAGUGCAAUGGAUAGGACAAGAGACUUGAUAUGGCACCACUUUGUCAGGUUACUCGCGAGGAUUGGAGACAGAACAUCGACGGUGGAGCCCGAAGUCCCGUUGCAGGCAACAUUUUUUUUCCCUUUGCUUUCCACAAGACCACAGCCAUGGCACAGGGAACUCCACCUACAUCCAAUGGCCGAAGUGCCUUCCUUUUGGUUGUUUACUGCACUUGUGGAAAACUUUCUCCCUGCUCAUAGCACAUUCGAGAAAAGCUGGCAGCUCCGGUACUCCACCCAUUCUCCGGUGAAUGCUGAAUCUAUUCCCAAUCAUGCUGUCCAUUUUACUAAGGGGGUGUUUGGUUUCUAGGGACUAAUGUUUAGUCCCUAGAUUUUAUUCCAUUUUAGUGUAUAAAUUGCUAAAUAUAGAAACUAAAAUAAAGUUUUAGUUUCUAUAUUUGGUAAUUUUGAAACUAAAAUGGAAUAAAAUCUAGGGACUAAACAUUAGUCCCUAGAAACCAAACACCCCCUAACUUUUCCGUGUGCGAGAUGGUAUUCCUUGCAUAUUUAGUGCUGUCCUUGAGCACUAGACUCGAACAAAAUGCAUGUAGUUACAGUCACGAGUAACCUAGCCGUUGGCUGAAUAAAAUGCAUGUGUGUGUAGGGCGUGUAAUUUGCUAAGCAGCAACAUAUCUUACUGCAUGUGCUUGAUCACGUUUUUCGUUCCGAAACCCAAAACCAACGCGCCCCUCUCGUGCGGUACCUUCAAUGUAAUGACAAUUUGGUUGAGCAGCGGCCAUGGGCAAAUCAGUGGCUCUCGAAUAGCGACGCGGUCGGCGACAGCGAGCGACGAGCGCUUCCUGGGGAGAGUCUUGUCGCAGCCUUAUUCGAGAUUUGUAUAGGCACAAGCACAACUAGCUAAUCCAGUUACCCCUUUUUUUAAUCGAGAAAGGAAGCGCCGCAGAAGCAUCACGAUUAUCAUGCCACAACAAACAAGACACCCUGGGAUUCCACACCCAAAAUGCCACCGAUACCCUGGCCAAAACCCUCCAAAAAGCAUCCCCCCGGAGAUACCAUCCACACCACCUAGCUAUUCUUCUUCCACGCAACAAGGUGUACCGUUAAAUUUGAUUAAACGCUCCCAUCAUGAAAUCCAACCAGUUCUGUGUAGAUCGAUUCAAAUUGACACCAUAUACUAGAAAUCAAGUUUUUUUUUCUUUUUUACUGCUUAUCUCAUGUCACAAGAAAGCACUCUUAGUUUAAUGAUUUUUGUAAGACGGACUAAUUUUUAGCUCUGAGAUUUAGACAUAUCCUCUCGAUGUUGAAGUAUAUAAGUGGAUUGACUAUAUUUUUCCAUUAACUUAAUUUUUUGGGUUAAACUGAUUGGUGCGUCCACUCUAAUAUGGUAUCAAAGUUAGAUGUCUCGAGUUCAAAUCUUGAUAGAGAUUUUAUUUAUGCAUCCACCAAUUUAUUCCCACAUUUCCGCCUUUCUCUCUCUGACUGCACGUGAGUGUUGAAAUAUAUAAGUGGAUUGACCUUCUUCAAACAACUUAAUCUUUUUGGUUGAACUGGUUAGUGUGUCCACUCUAACAAUUAGCAAGUCUCGAGAACUAAGAGGCCGUUUGGGACGGCUCUCCCGUGGCUCCAGCUCCGGCUCCGCGACGGAGCUCUCCCAAACGAGUCUGCUGAAAUGGCUCUCUGAAGAGAGCAGAAGCCAUUUUAGCUCCUAAGAGCCGGAGCCCAAAAAACCUGCUCUCGCACCGGCUCCUCGCCCAUUUCAGUGCGCAGGCACCACGUGCAGCCUCUCCCACCACGCGUAGCCUCUUGUUGGCGUUCAGUAAAGAGCUGUUUUACCAAACGAUUUGUAAAAGACAUCGGCUCCGGCAGAGAAGCUGCUCCUUUAAAAGAGCAACGGUUGGAGCCAGUUUUAGAGGAGCCAGAGCCCUCCCAAACAGGGCCUAAAUAAACUAACUGAGCAGAUAGAUGACUUUCUUUAAGAUUCGUCACCACGAUGUGCUGCCAAAUUUGGCCAGGCGCCAAGCCACCGGGCACCAGCCACGGCGACACUGAUAGCACCAAUGCACAAGGCCGGGCAUCUAUAUUUCCGCCCCCUCCAUGCAUAUCAACGCGCUCGCGACCGAGACCGGCACAACACAAACAGAAACAUGUAUCAACACACCAUGGCCGCCAUGCACGCCAUCGUGCACCACCGCGCACCGCCGCCUGGCCGCUGCUGUCGCGGCCACGGGCGCAGCGUCGUCGUCCGCGCGUCGGCCGCCACCGUCACCACCAGCAUCCCCGGGUCCGCGGCGACAGUGCCGGACUCGCCGUCCGCGGCGUUCUGGGACUACAACCUCCUAUUCCGGUCGCAGCGCGCCGAGUCCCCCGACCCCGUGGUGCUCCGCGUCACGGAGGGCGCGAUCCCGCCGGACUUCCCGGCGGGCACCUACUACCUCGCCGGUCCCGGGAUGUUCACCGACGACCACGGGUCCACGGUCCACCCGCUCGACGGCCACGGCUACCUCCGCUCGUUCCGCUUCGACGCCAGCGGCGCGGCGCACUACUCCGCGCGGUACGUGGAGACGGCGGCGAAGCGGGAGGAGCACGACGCGGGCGGCGCGUCGUGGCGGUUCACGCACCGGGGCCCCUUCUCGGUGCUGCAGGGUGGGAGCCGGGUGGGCAACGUGAAGGUGAUGAAGAACGUGGCCAACACCAGCGUGCUGCGCUGGGGCGGCCGCGUGCUCUGCCUCUGGGAAGGCGGGGAGCCGUACGAGCUGGACCCGCGGACGCUGGAGACCAUCGGCCCGUUCGACAUCCUCGGCAGCCUCUGCGGCGGUACCGACGAAGUGGCACGAGACGCCAGCGGCGAGGCUGCGCAUCACGGGCGCCGGCAGCCGUGGCUGCAGGAGGCAGGGAUCGACGUGGCCGCGCGCCUGCUGCGACCGGUCCUCAGUGGUCUGUACCGUCACUGCCACCACUAGCAGUCAACCACCUCUGCCUGCGGUCGGCGCACGCACCAGAGCCUGCGGUCGGCGCACGCACCAGAGAGCCUGCGGUUGCAGAGCUCUGCUCCACUCUGACCCGACCGGACCGACCUGACGUUUGUGCGCUCGUGUCUGUCGUGUGGCUCCCGCAGGUGUCUACAGCAUGCCGGCCAAGCGGCUCCUCGCGCACUACAAGAUCGACCCCAAGAAGAACCGGCUGCUGAUGGUGGCCUGCAACGCCGAGGACAUGCUCCUCCCGCGCUCCAACUUCACUUUCUACGGUCCGCGCUGCACACCCCUUGCUCAAAUCGAACCGAACACGUACAGAUGCAAACAGAGUUCACUCCACCUGCUCGAUCACUGACGUUGACGACGGCACUGCACCGCAGAGUUCGACGCCAACUUCGCGCUGGUGCAGAAGCGGGAGUUCGUCUUGCCGGACCACCUGAUGAUCCACGACUGGGCCUUCACGGAUAGCCAAUACGUCCUCCUCGGAAACAGAAUCAGGCUGGACAUUCCCGGUACGGAAGGGGAUUAGAGUACUACUACCCCUCUCUCCCGCUCUUUUACUCACAGACACACACACACACACACACACACACACACACCUGAGACAUCACCAGAGUCAUUUGCAGCGCCUCUCACGUGAGUGGCGUGCGGUGUGUUUGUGCAGGUUCGCUGCUGGCGCUCACGGGCACUCACCCAAUGAUCGCGGCCCUCGCCGUGGACCCGAGCCGGCAGUCCACACCCGUCUACCUGCUGCCGCGCACCCCGGAGGCCGAGGCCGAGGCCAGCGGCCGCGACUGGAGCGUGCCCAUCGAGGCGCCGUCGCAGAUGUGGUCGAUGCACGUCGGCAACGCCUUCGAGGAGCGCAACGCCCGGGGCGGCAUCAACAUACAGCUCCACAUGUCCGGCUGCUCCUACCAGUGGUUCAACUUCCACAGGAUGUUUGGUACGUAAAUUCCGGAUGCAUACAUCUUGGAAGUCCUGUUGGUCGAACGAUGUUGUUCACGCUGUACAUCUUCUUUCGAAAUCCUUUGACCUGCUAGUGCUACAGGUUACAACUGGCUGAACAAGAAGCUGGACCCGUCCUUCAUGAAUAUAGCCAAGGGAAGGGAAUGGCUACCUCGUCUUGUUCAGGUGAGCGAUCGCUCGUUCUCAAGUAGUACAACCGAUGGACCAGCUGAUAUGUGUACAGUGUUAACAGCGGCAGAAUUGUGGCACCACGCACGCCGCCGACCCCAUCCCAUCCCAUGCAGGUGUCCAUCGACCUCGACAAGAGAGGGACGCGCCGAGGAUGCGCCGUCCGGAGACUGUCCGACCAGUGGACCAGGCCGGCGGACUUCCCGGCGAUCAACCCAGGCUUCGCCAACCGGAGGAGCCGCUUCGUCUACGCCGGUGCCGCCUCCGGCUCGCGCAGAUUCUUGCCGUACUUCCCCUUUGACAGCGUUGUCAAGGUAGACGUCUCCGAUGGAUCAGCGCGGCUGUGGUCUGUCGCUGGGCGCAAGUUCGUCGGUGAGCCGGUCUUCGUCCCCACCGGCAGUGGCGAGGAUGACGGCUAUGUUCUACUUGUAGAGGUAAGAGGAACGAACAUCCAUUCAAGUUCAAGAACCGGCAUGGACAUUCAUUCAUUCAUCUAAUGCCGCUUUGUUCGCCGCAGUAUGCAGUGUACGAUCACAGGUGCCAUCUGGUGCUGCUGGACGCAAGGAAGAUCGGGGAAAGGAACGCAGUUGUGGCAAAACUUGAGGUGCCCAAGCACCUCACCUUCCCGAUGGGAUUCCAUGGGUUCUGGGCAGAUGAAUGACGCCACAGACAUCCAUUCUCACUCACUGAGCCCUGAAGUCCAAGACCCAUGUUGUCUUGAUCGCUUGAAACCUCUGAAACUGAAAGGAACGCAACAAUCGGGUCUUUUCUUCGGGAUCGUAUCCUGUGCUCAUUGCGCUCCCGCACAUGUGAGCACUUUUAAUCUGAGGCAUCCGUCGUGGUUCUGCUCGUCGGUCCCAUUCCCUGCCUGUGUCACCGGCCUCCUGCACGCCGUCGUCGUCCUCCUGCGUCCUGCACGCCGUUGCUAUCCUCCUGUGUCCUGCACGCUGCCACCAUCCUCCUAUGUCCUCCCCGAUGCCGUCAUGAGAAAGGAACUCAUGUAUGUAAGCUUGCUUCCACGGAUUGCUUCGACAGGUUGCUAGGUAUGUCACAACUGCGAUUGUAAACUGAUUGUAUAGACCCAUGUGAAUUAAAUAGAUUGUUUCAUGACUGGAAACAUCUUGUAUCACAGCAAUAGAUUGGUCCAGAAUAUACAAACUGAAAACAAAAUACUACAAAUCAACAUCUACGAGCUGCUGGAUCAUGGUUGGCAUUCUUUCGCUUUCGUGACUUAGUUCUUUAGAUUUCUCAAUUCUUUUACUCCUUCCUUUGGAUCCAACAUCAGUUGGUGGGAUGAAUAUGUACUUGUUCUAGAAUUUGACAACCAAUGAAACCUUGGUACUCUUGCAGUCUACUUUGUACCAUACCAGGAACAAACUUACCAAGAGUUCCUUCCAUGAUCAUCACUCUUGAGACUAAGAAAUCCAUGCCUUCUUUUGAACCCUUUGCUUGUUCAAUCAUGUCCUCAACUUUGUUUCGAAUAGCUGCUAUCUUCCUCCUUGUUUCAACUUCAUUAGCAUCUAACGGCUUCUCGUGCAAUAAGUUUCCUUCUCCAUCGCACAAAAUCUCUCAAAGUAACAAGAAAAACAUAUGGUCAAGUAAAGAAUGUACACAAUGUAUGAACAAAUGAAAGCGUCAUUGAAUUUACCUCUUGCAUCUUUUUUCAAUUUUUUUUUGAAAAAGUAAGACAAAGGUAGUUCAUUAAGCUUUUCACCUCUCAACUUUAAAGAUGAUAUGCCGACAUGGAAUUCCCAUUGACUCGAAUAAUAAGCAGGAGCAAUUCCCAAUUAUCAAUUAUGGCCCAACUUACAUCUUGUUAGUGUGUGGUUCUUUUGGUUUUAGGGGCGGGGGUCAUGGACCUCUUUCACCUUCUUAAAACCAGCCCUUGAACACAUAUAUCUCUUGUUAGGGGUUGUUUGACAGAGCUCCCGUAGCUCUGGUCCCAGCGAGAAUCACACCUGUAGAGUCAAACGGUAAAAAUCUGAACUGCUUUAUAGUGGGAGUGGAGUGAAUCUAGCCUCUAUUUUAUACUAUAAAGUGGGAGCCAAAAAAACUUGCUUCCCACCGCUCUCAACUUGCUCCCCACUCUCUAACCUCUCAGGAAUCACUUCACAGCUUAUUUGUCAAACAAUUUCCGCCAAAUGGAUUCACUUCUGCUAGAAAAUCAAUCAGAAUUACUCGAGAAUCGGCUUUCGGAGUUAGAGAAUCAUGGAGCAAAGCUCUGCCAAACGAGCCCUUAAUAACCUCACCAAGAGCUUUAAUUUGAGAACCAACACGCACUGAAAGUACUCCAUCAUGUGCAUAUGAUUUGUAGAACUCCGCGUCAUUACAAGAAUGAAAGGACAUUCCAUUAACAGGCUUGCUUCCGUCCACAGUCCACACAGAUGGGUAUGAAUGACGCACACUGCAAUGUGAGACAGAAAAAAUACUAUUAUUACACAAACAUAUGUUUUGCAUGCCAACGAAUCAACAUGAGUUAAAACGAUAGGUUACCACUCUAGGGACAUAUGCCGUUUUUUUGGUGUACAUAAACCUUGAGAGGAUGAUUCACCUUAUGUAACACGCGAUUGUUCCAACCAAGAUUCGAAGGAAAGGUGACACACGGCGUGAAUGUGCAUCUCAUCGAUGUCUUGGGCGUGUCUCUCGACACAAAACAGAUCAUACAGAGAAGACACAGAUUUAACGUGGAAAACCGCUCCAAAGCGAGGAGAGGAAACGCGGGCGCCGGCCAAUAACAAUCUCACUAUUUUUCGGGUGGUUACAGAUCGCAGGAGAUUUACAAUGAGAUGACUAUUUAGUGUGAAUUAUAAGUGUAUUUAUAGAGGCGAAACCCUAAUACGAGUAUGGAACAUUCCCCUCACAUCGAGCCUCUCGAGCGUCUCGGAUGUGAAAUAGGAGCGAGCAACAAUUAUUUUUAUUUUAAUUGCGCUAACCAGGAUUCGAACUCAUGAACUCUGGCUUUGAUACUAUAUUAAGAUGGACACACUAACCAAUUCAACCCAAAAGCUUAACCUGAUGGAAGAAUGUAGUCAAUUCAAUAUACAAUUCAACACCCCACUCGCGUGUAGCUAGAGAGAAAAGCAUAAACAUGAAAAAUAAAUGGGUUAAGGCACAAAAAGCCUCUGCUGGCUGCAAGUUCCGUCACAUGGUAUCCAUUCUCAAGAUACACAAGUCGUUCCCCACGUCCGCAGAGGCACGAGCGCACCUGUUGGAAGAGUUGGAAAUCGACGCAAACCUCCGUCCCCGCCAUGCACACUCGUGGCAAAGUCGACAUUGCACGGCCUGUAGAUCGUCUCAACCUCCAAGCUGUGCCUAUGUCACCACUGCCUCGCUCAGUUCGUGAUGCAUUGUCAGACUCCAAUUGGCGCUUCGCUAUGCAAGCUGAGUAUGAUGCUCUACUCGCUAGUGACACCUAGAGUUUAGUAGGCCUUUUGGAGCCAAUGUUGGUAACUGGCAAGUGAAUUUUUCGACACAAAUUGCUCGUAGAUGGGUUUCUUGAUCACUACAGGACUCGCUGGGUCCUUCGACGGUUUACCUAGCGCCCCGGUGUGGAUUAUGAUGAGACUUUCAGUCCGGUUGUUAGGCCUAUGACAGUUUGAGUUGUUCUUUCUUUGGCUCUCUCUUAGGACUGGCCCAUUCAUCAGUUCGAUAUGAAGAAUGCAUUCUUACAUGACGCCCUCACCAAGGCUGAAUACCGUGUCGUGGCAAAUGGUGUUGGUGAAGCUACUUGGUUACGUCAGUUACUCCUUGAGAUUCAGCAUCCACCUCGCCGUGCCACCCUAGUCUACUAUGACAAUGUCAGUGCUGUAUAUCUCUCCAGCAAUCCUGUGAAGCAGCAUCGGAUGAAGCAUGUUGAGAUCGAUCUCCAUUUUGUUCGAGAUAAGGUCGCCCUCGGUCACGUUUAGGUUCUUCAUGUUCCUACGACAUCAUAGUACAUAGACAUCUUCACCAAGGGCCUACUCACCUCGUUGUUUUAGAGGUUUCGGUCCAGCCUAACUGUUAGCGACGCUCCUGAUUAGACUGCGGAGGAGUGUUAGACUAUUGUAAUUACAAUAUGUUUUAAUUAUGGUAGUCAUCCCUUGAUUAUAGGCAUGCUCGCCUGCGCGGUUGGCUAUGAGCCACCUGUGGCCUCUUAUGUAUACCUGUACAUUGUCAUGGAAUUGAUUGGUUCAUUCCCACAAUUACUCUACUCUCUUUAUAUGAAAUCUAUUUUAGAGAGUAGCUAGACCAGUAAAUUUGGCUUAUCUCUUGGAAUUGCUAAGUAAAUAAACGUUUAAGGUAUUUAGGGAUAAAAACGAACAGGAAAAAUACACUCAUGUCCUGUAUUCCUAUUUUGAAUUGCUAGACCAAAGCUUAUCUUUUGGAAUUGCUAAGUAAAUAAACCUGUAUUGUAUUAUAAAAUUUUCAUUUUUCCCGUUUUCAAAUAUGAGGGAGAUACCCAGACUCCCAGUCUCGUGUUUGUGCAUGUGUUUUGGCCUAUGAGUUUUAUGUUUUGGCCCACUACUGCAGUGUCGCUAGCCGCCUAGCACACUACAGCAGUACUAGCGUACAGGUACAAUGUAACACCCGGAUUUUAGGGGUCCAAAACCCGGGCGCUAACAUAAACACCAGGUAUGCUGGGACCAAGUCUCACACAUAUGAUGUAUAGUGGCACAUGAUCGAAUGUCACAACUUUAUAUAUAACAGGAGUUCUAUACAAAAUAAAUAAUUACAUUAUAAGGAGACAACGGUCCAGCAACCCAAAAGUUGACUGGGAGACGACGACCUAGACCUCUCACGAACUCAUCACAGCAUCCUCCAUGAGCGUCAUCCUGCAGUACCUGGUCUUGACCUGUGGUGUAUGUGAGACAGCAAGAGUGAGCUCACAUACGUUCAUCGCUCAACAAGUUGUGGGGAAUAAUGUGCAUGAACUCGCCAAAGGUGGGAGCUCACGUGAAGUGUAAGGCUUACCAAAGAAGAUGGUUAGGGCUGAGCAUUGCUUUUAAAGUUGGUCAAAAUUUUAUUAGCAAUUACUAAGUAUAAGUAAAUACCAACCCAAUUAAGCAGUAGAACAAAAAUAACAACUUCACCUGCUAUGCAAUGCAUAUGACAAAUUGAAUUUAGUUCCAUAAUUUAAUCAUGUGAGUGUCCGAGCCGCUCAUGACCGUGAGCACGGCUAGUAUACCAGUUUUACACUCUGCAGAGGUUGCGCAUCUUUACCCACAAGUCGUGUAUCCCAUGUCGCCAGGGUUUGCAAAGCCCUUAGACACUUCCGAGGUGAAUGGCUAGGGAUCCACUACGAGGCCUUUACAAAGUUCCACUAGCUUCCGAAAACCCGCUACAGUUUAUAGGAAGAUCCAGUACAGGAAUCCCUUGCAGGACCGCCAUCGCAGCAAAAUCCUCCCGAGGGCACUUCCCGCACUGACCUCUCCCCUACUGCCCUUGCCCCUUUCGGGUAAGGUAGUCUUCCACUAGCUUUCCUAAUUAGUCAGCCAAGGGCGUCCCAUUAAACCCUUGUGGUAGCACUGUUUUCCCGGGUGGUUCUCCAUGUUCCAAUUAACAUAAUGAUCUCAAUAUGAACAAUAAAUAAUAACUGAUAACAAAAGUGUAACCAUGAAUAGUGUAUCUCCAUACCCAAAACCACAUAUAGCACUAGCAAGUACUACCCAGAAAGUUCAGUGGUGAACAAGGUAUAAAGAUAGACAAACUAGGGUAACCUAUUGGGUCCCAUCAAAAUUAACCUAUGCAGAUCAUUAUGAUUAAUUAGAACAUGAGUAGGUGAAAAGAAGUGAUCAAGGGCACAACUUGCCUGGGCCUUGAGAUUCCAGGUACCAGGAUGAUCUUCAGGUGACACGUGACCUCACUGCUAGUCGUAGCAUUACAAACAAACAGUGUAUAGACAGAAUUAACAUUACACCAAACAUAUAUGCAAAAUACAUAUUAAUAAUCUACAUGUUAAAAUAAGAUCACAGGAAAAAGAAUUAUUAAUUUUGGAGUUAUAGAUUUUAAGUUAUGGAUUUCCAAAGAUUCUAUGUGCUUAGUACAAGAUUAAUUAAGAUAACAAUUUUAAUGUGACUUUUAUGUAAAACCAGUGGUACUAAUUGAUAAACAAUAGUAUUACAAAAUUAUAGGAAGUGGGAUGGAUUAAUUUGGAGUUCAUAUGCAUUUUCUAUGAAUUAUAUAAAUUCUAGGAAUUAUUUUUAUAUUAAAAACUCAUUUUCUAAUUAAUUUUCCUGAUUUUAUAACUCUCUGGACUGGGCCUCAUUUACUGAAAAGCGCAGGGGCUCUACGCAAGAUUUCCGAGACUCAGGCUACACCCGCACAGGACGGCGGGUUGAAUCCGAGAAAACCCAGGGUUUCUUUUAUAAAACAUACCCGCGAAGGGGUACGGGGUGAUAUAGGCCGUCGGAUUAGAAAUCCAAGGCCCAGAUCAGAACCUGGCUUAAGUGAACCGGUAAGCUCUGGCGGCCGCCCGAUCCGAGAUCUACGGAUCGGAUUUAAAAUACCCGAGGUGGCUUCGAAUGCGUCCGAUCCCCAUCCAACGGUUCGGAUCAUCACACGCGAAGGGGUAUCUUCCUAUUCUAAUCGCAGCCGUUCAUUCGCGGAUCCACGGCCACGGUAACAUCUCCACUCCCCCGACCGGGAGGCCGGCGGCGCACGAGUGUUCCCCCGGCGGCGCCAUGGCCGGCGAAGGGCCGAUUAACGCACGAGCGCACCUAUUUUAAAAUUGACAGGCGCAGAACAGAGAGGAGAGGGUAGCGAACAUAAUGGUGGAUUCCAUACCGAGGAUUAAGCUCCCAGGAGUCCCGUCCACGGCGCACGGCGGUAAUCCGCGGUGGGGCAAGCGACGGCGAGCAAUUCCGGUGUCUUCAACGCUCCUUGGUCAUGGCCACCCCAUCGUGUAUGCUCCACGUGCAACCCCGAAGCCCCAGGCCCACACGCCGAGGAUGAUUCGCCACCGUGGGCGGAGAUCACCGGCGGCGGACGGAGAUGCGGGGAGAAAGCACGGUCCCGAGGAGAGAGAUGUGAAGGAGAGGGGGGUCGCGGCUACGUACUUAUACUCAGGGGGCGCUUCGCGGUUGUUGUACGGGUACCGAGAUCACCGGCGAGCUCGCGGAGUCCGCGCGAUGGUGUUCGUCGCGGCAACAGACUUCGCACAGCACGCGUGGAGUUCGGAAGGAAGACGGAGACGACCCUGACGA